This 71358-nucleotide long non-coding RNA is filed under the name Sorghum bicolor (sorghum). Its description in RNAcentral is "long non-coding RNA (SBIC_LNC003085)". The record is from RNAcentral. Lineage: Eukaryota; Viridiplantae; Streptophyta; Magnoliopsida; Poales; Poaceae.
UGGAUAUAGGUGAUGCACUAUUGCACAACUCUUCUUUGUCACUAGGAACAUCAGGAAUAUCGAAGUUUGACAAAGGAAAAUUAGUAAUUGGUUCCAUAAUUGUUUUCUCUAAGUUAGCAGCAUUAGUGGACAAAUGCAGCUCAUCUAAUGCAAGGUCACCUUCAUUUAUGUUACCACCAUCUAAUUUACCUUUGAUGCUGUGUUGAAAUGGUGUGGGUGCAGCAAGAUUUACGCUCUCUUUAAAUGACUCAUCUAGUAUCUCAAGUUGCACGCUUUCCAUGUGUAUGUUGUCUUCUUGUUGCUGCAAAUUGUUAGUAAUAGGAGAGACACGUACUUCUAUAAUACUUGCGAGAUCCCUUUCUAACUCACAAGCAAGAUCAAACAAUUCAUCAAAAGUGUUAUAAUACUUAUCAACAAGAAUGUUCUGAAUUUCUACAUUAAGACCUUGCAGAAAUCUAUGUUCCAAAAGUUCAUCAGUUUCUUCUAAUCCACAUCGCAGCACACACAAUUUUAGUUUAUCCAAAUAUUCCGCUACGGUUUUGUUUUCUUGCUUUAUAGAUUGUAGUUUUUCAAACAAAAUUUCAGAAUAGUACUCAGAGACAAAAACAUCUCUAAAAUGUCUUUUCACAUCUUUCCAUGUUUGAGGAGCUUUAUGAAAUCUACAAAGGUAUUUCCAUGAACUUAAAAGCAUACUCAGUAAGAACACUGGAAGCAACUCUAAUCUUUUGGCUUUCCGAUAGAUUAUGCUUUUUAAAUUCAUUGUCUACAUUUAGCUCCCAUUUAAUAUAUGCAUGUGGAUCACAAUUUCCUUCAAAAUAAGGUAAUGCAGAUUUUAUUUCAUCUAGCAAAACAUCACAUACCUCAUGAGUGCCAGACUUAUCACUUGCCACACCUUUAGCAAGGUGAUGUGAACAUGCAAUCUGAUUAUCGCUUGUUUCUACGUGGAUUCCUGCCAUGAUUAGAACAAAACAAGAGACAUACGCAAUAAUCUUUAUGCUCCUAUCAACUACAAGGAUGUGGUUGUUGUAAUUAUUUCACUCUCACCCUAUGCAAACAAGUUCUUACCAAGCGAAACAGGAGGUGGCAGGAACCAACAAGUCAGAAAACCUAGAAAAUGGUGUAUCAACGCUGCAGCAACAACACUUGUCAAGUUGUAGUCUGAUAUGUGGAGUUUCCACUUGAGCCUCUUCACCCAAGUGUACCAAAUAGUGCAUCCAUAAUGGUUUCUCAGACUAUGGUGCAUUAGGUGCAAACUGUGCACCUAUCUUGCACCGAAACUAACAAUGUCUCCAAGUGGACCGAAGCGAGAUUCCAUAUGACACACAUCGUCAAGGAGUUCCAUCGGGUGCAUCCAAAUUGAUUUCCAAGCAUAUGGUAUGUUCCAUGCAAACCAUGCACCUAUCUUGCAUCAAGAUUAGCACUAUCUCCAAACAUAUCAAACCGAGCUUCCACUUGAGCCUCUUCACCGAAGUAUCAACAGGUGCUUACAAAAUGGUUUGAUAGACUAUGGUGCAUUAGGCGCAAACCAUGCACAUAUCUUGCACCGAAACUAAAACUAUUUCUAAACAGACCAAAGUGAGAUUCCAUAUGACAGACGUCAUCAAGGAGUUCCAUCGAGUGCAUCCAAAUUGAUUUCCAAGCAUAAGGUAUGUUCCACGCAAACUGUGCACCUAUCUUGCAUCAAGAUUAGCACUAUCUCCAAACAGACCAAACCGAGCAUCCACUUGAGCCCCUUCACCUAGGAGUACCAACAAGUGUGUCCAAAAUGGUUUCUUAGACUAUGGUGCAUUAGGUGCAAACUGUGCACCUAUCUUGCACCGAAACUAACAAUGUCUCCAAAUGGACCGAAGCGAGAUUCCAUAUGACACAUGUCGUCAAUGAGUUCCAUCGGCUGCAUCCAAAUUGAUUUCCAAGCAUAUGGUAUGUUCCAUGCAAACCAUGCACCUACCUUGCAUAAGGAUUAGCACUAUCUCCAAACUGACCGAACCAAGCUUCCACUUGAGCCUCUUCACCCAAGAGUACCAAAUAGUGCAUCCAAAAUGGUUUCUUAGACUAUGGUGCAUUAGGCGCAAACCGUGCACAUAUCUUGCACCAAAACUAAUACAAUCUCUAAGCACACCAAAGCGAGAUUCCGUAUAACACACAUCAUCAAUGAGUUCUAUCGGGUGUGUCCAAAUUAAUUUCUAAGCAUAUGGUACGUUCCAUGCAGACCAUGCAUCUAUCUUGCAUCAAGAUUAGCACUAUCUCCAAAUAGACCAAAUCAAGCUUUCACUUGAGCUUUUUACCUAGGAGUACCAUCGGGUGCGUCCAAAAAGGUUUCUUAGCCAAUGCUGCAUUAUGUGCAAACCUUGCACCGAAACUAACACUGUCUCCAAACAGACCAAAGCAAGAUUUUGUAUGACACACGUCAUCUAGGAGUUCCAUCAUGUGCGUCCAGAUGGAUUUCCAAGCAUAUGGUACGUUCCAUGUAGACCAUGCAUCUAUCUUGCAUCAAGAUUAGCACUAUCUGCAAAUAGACCGAACCGAGCAUCCACUUGAGCCCCUUCACUUAGGAGUACCAACGAGUGCGUCCAGAAUGGUUUCUUAGACUAUGGUGCAUUAGGUGCAAAGUGUGCACCUAUCUUGCACCGAAACUAACAAUGUCUCCAACAGGACCGAAGCGAGAUUCUAUAUGACACACGUUGUCAAGGAGUUCCAUCGGGUGCAUCCAAAUUGAUUUCCAAGCAUAUAGUAUGUUCCAUGCAAACCAUGCACCUACCUUGCAUAAGGAUUAGAACUAUCUCCAAACUGACCGAACCAAGCUUCCACUUGAGCCUCUUCACCCAAGAGUACCAAUUAGUGCGGCCAAAAUGGUUUCUUAGACAAUAGUGCAUUAGGAGCAAACUGUGCACCUAUCUUGCACUAAAACAUACAAUGUCUACAAACGGACCGAAGCAAGAUUCCAUAUGACACACGUCAUCUAGGAGUUCCAUUGGGUGCGUCCAAAUUGAUUUCUAAGCAUAUGGUAUGUUCCUUGCAAAUCAUGCACCUAUCUUGCAUCAAGAUUAGCACUAUCUCCAAACAGAUCAAACCGAGCUUCCACUUGUGCCUCUUCACUGAAGUACCAACAGGUGCUUCCAAAAUGGUUUCUUAGACUAUGGUGCAUUAGGCGCAAACCAUACACAUAUCUUGCACCGAAACUAACACUAUUUCUAAAUAGUUAAAAGUGAGAUUCCAUUUGACACAUGGCAUCAAGGAGUUCCAUCGCGUGCAUCCAAAUUAGUUUCCAAGCACAUGGUAUUUUCCAUGCAAACCAUGCACCUAUCUUGCAUCAAGAUUAGCACUAUCUCCAAACAGACCAAACCGAGCAUCCACUUGAGCCCCUUCACCUAGGAGUACGAACAAGUGCGUCCAAAAUGGUAUCUUAGACUAUGGUGCAUUAGGUGCAAACUGUGCACCUAUCUUGCACCGAAACUAACAAUAUCUCCAAAUGGACCGAAGCGAGAUUCCAUAUGACACACGUCGUCAAGGAGUUCCAUCGGGUGACUCCAAACUGAUUUCCAAGCAUAAGGUAUGUUCCAUGCAAACCAAGCACCUACCUUGCAUAAGGAUCAGCACUAUCUUUAAACUGACCGAACCAAGCUUCCAUUUGAGCCUCUUCAAGCAAGAAUACCAAAUAGUGCAUCAAAAAUGAUUUCUUAGACUAUGGUGCAUUAGGCACAAACUAUGCACCUAUCUUGCACCGAAACUAACACUCUCUCCAAACAGACCGAAGCGAGAUUCCAUAUGACACACGUCAUCUAGGGGUUCCAUUGGGUGUGUCCAAAUUGAUUUCUUAACAUAUGGUACGUUCCAUGCAAAACUGUACAACUAUCUUGCAUCAAGAUUAGAACUAUAUCCGAACAGACCAAAUCGAGCCUCCACUUGAGCCACUUCAACUAUGAGUACCAGGGUGCGUCUAAAAUGGUUUCUUAGCAUAUGGUGCAUUAGGCGUAAACCGUGCACAUAUCUUCUACCAAAACUAACACUGUCUCUAAACAAAACGAAGCAAGAUACCAUAUGACACACAUCAUCAAGGAGUUAUAUCAGGUGCGUCCUAAUUGAUUUAUGAGCAUAUCAUAUGUUCCAUGCUAACAGUGCAUCUAUCUUGCAUCAAGAUUAGCACUAUCUCCAAACAGACCAAACCAAGCUUUCACUUGAGCACCUUGACCUAGGAGUACCAUCGGGUACUUCCAAAAUGGUUUCUUAAACUAUGGUGCAUUAGGCGCAAACCAUGCACAUAUCUUGCACCGAAACUAACAUUGUUUCUAAAUAGACCAAAGUGAGAUUCUAUAUGACACACGUCAUCAAGGAGUUCCAUCGGGUGCAUCCAAAUUGAUUUCCAAGCAUAAGGUAUGUUCCAUGCAAACCGUGCACCUAUCUUGCAUCAAGAUUAGCACUAUCUCCAAACAGACCGAACCGAGCUUCCACUUGAGCCUCGUCAUCUAGGAGUACAAAUAGGUGCGUCAAAAUGGUUUCUUAGACUAUGGUGCAUUAGGCACAAACUAUGCACCUAUCUUGCACCGAAACUAACACUGUCUCCAAACUGACCGAAGCGAGAUUCCAUAUGACACACGUCGUCUAGGUGUUCCACUGGGUGCGUCCAAAUUGAUUUCUUAACAUAUGGUACGUUCCAUGCAAACUGUACAACUAUCUUGCAUCAAGAUUAGCACUAUAUCCGAACAGACCAAAUCGAGCCUCCACUUGAGCCACUUCAACUAUGAGUACCAUCAGGUGCGUCUAAAAUGGUUUCUUAGCCUAUGGUGCAUUAGGCGUAAACCGUGCACAUAUCUUCUACCAAAACUAACACUGUCUCUAAACGAAACGAAGCAAGAUACCAUAUAACACACAUCAUCAAGGAGGUAUAUCAAGUGAAGAGGCUCAAUUGAUUUCUUAACAUAUGGUAUGUUGCAUGCAAACUGUGCAACUAUCCUGCGUCAAGAUUAGCACUAUAUCCGAACAGAACAAAUCGAGCCUCCACUUGAGCCUCUUCAACUACGAGUACCAUCGGGUGCGUCUAAAAUGGUUUCUUAGCCUAUGGUGCAUUAGGCGUAAACUGUGCACAUAUCUUCUACCAAAACUAACACUGUCUCUAAACGAACUGAAGCAAGAUUCCAUAUGACACAAAUCAUCAAGGAGUUACAUCAGGUGCGUCCUAAUUGAUUUCUAAGCAUAUCGUAUGUUCCAAGCAAACAGUGCAUCUAUCUUGCAUCAAGAUUAGCACUAUCUCCAAACAGACCGAACCGAGCAUCCGCUUGAGCCCAAUCACCUAGGAGUACCAACAAGUGCGUCCAAAAUGGUUUCUUAGACUACGGUGCAUUAGGUGCAAACUGUGCACCUAUCUUGCACCGAAACUAACAAUGUCUCCAACUGGACCGAAGCGAGAUUCUAUAUGACACACGUUGUCAAGGAGUUCCAUCGGGUGCAUCCAAAUUGAUUUCCAAGCAUAUAGUAUGUUCCAUGCAAACCAUGCACCUACCUUACAUAAGGAUUAGAACUAUCUCCAAACUGACCGAACCAAGCUUCACUUGAGCCUCUUCACCCAAGAGUACCAAAUAGUGCGGCCAAAAUGGUUUCAUAGACAAUAGUGCAUUAGGCGCAAACUGUGCACCUAUCUUGCACUAAAACAUACAAUGUCUACAAACGGACCGAAGCAAGAUUCCAUAUGACACACGUCAUCUAGGAGUUCCAUUGGGUGCGUCCAAAUUGAUUUCUAAGCAUAUGGUAUGUUCCUUGCAAAUCAUGCACCUAUCUUGCAUCAAGAUUAGCACUAUCUCCAAACAGAUCAAACCGAGCUUCCACUUGUGCCUCUUCACUGAAGUACCAACAGGUGCUUCCAAAAUGGUUUCUUAGACUAUGGUGCAUUAGGCGCAAACCAUACACAUAUCUUGCACCGAAACUAACACUAUUUCUAAACAGUCAAAAGUGAGAUUCCAUUUGACACAUGGCAUCAAGGAGUUCCAUCGCGUGCAUCCAAAUUAGUUUCCAAGCACAUGGUAUUUUCCAUGCAAACCAUGCACCUAUCUUGCAUCAAGAUUAGCACUAUCUCCAAACAGACCAAACCGAGCAUCCACUUGAGCCCCUUCACCUAGGACUACGAACAAGUGCGUCCAAAAUGGUAUCUUAGACUAUGGUGCAUUAGGUGCAAACUGUGCACCUAUCUUGCACCGAAACUAACAAUAUCUCCAAAUGGACCGUAGCGAGAUUCCAUAUGACACACGUCGUCAAGGAGUUCCAUCGGGUGCAUCCAAAUUGAUUUCCAAGCAUAUAGUAUGUUCCAUGCAAACCAUGCACCUACCUUACAUAAGGAUUAGAACUAUCUCCAAACUGACCGAACCAAGCUUCACUUGAGCCUCUUCACCCAAGAGUACCAAAUAGUGCGGCCAAAAUGGUUUCAUAGACAAUAGUGCAUUAGGCGCAAACUGUGCACCUAUCUUGCACUAAAACAUACAAUAUCUACAAACGGACCGAAGCAAGAUUCCAUAUGACACACGUCAUCUAGGAAUUCCAUUGGGUGCGUCCAAAUUGAUUUCUAAGCAUAUGGUAUGUUCCAUGCAAAUCAUGCACCUAUCUUGCAUCAAGAUUAGCACUAUCUCCAAACAGAUCAAACCGAGCUUCCACUUGUGCCUCUUCACCGAAGUACCAACAGGUGCUUCCAAAAUGGUUUCUUAGACUAUGGUCCAUUAGGCGCAAACCGUACACAUAUCUUGCACUGAAAGUAACACUAUUUCUAAACAGAACAAAGUGAGAUUCCAUAUGACACAUGGCAUCAAGGAGUUCCAUCGCGUGCAUCCAAAUUAAUUUCCAAGCACAUGGUAUUUUCCAUGCAAACCAUGCACCUAUCUUGCAUCAAGAUUAGCACUAUCUCCAAACAGACUAAACCGAGCAUCCACUUGAGCCCCUUCACCUAGGAGUACGAACAAGUGCGUCCAAAAUGGUAUGUUAGACUAUGGUGCAUUGGGUGCAAACUGUGCACCUAUCUUGCAUCGAAACUAACAAUGUCCCCAAAUGGACCGAAGCGAGAUUCCAUAUGACACACAUCGUCAAGGAGUUCCAUCGGAUGCAUCCAAAUUGAUUUCCAAGCAUAAGGUAUGUUCCAUGCAAACCAUGCACCUACCUUGCAUAAGGAUCAGCACUAUCUCCAAACUGACCGAACCAAGCUUCCAUUUGAGCCUCUUCAAGCAAGAAUACCAAAUAGUGCAUCAAAAAUGGUUUCUUAGACUAUGGUGCAUUAGGCACAAACUAUGCACCUAUCUGCACCGAAACUAACACUCUNNNNNNNNNNNNNNNNNNNNNNNNNNNNNNNNNNNNNNNNNNNNNNNNNNNNNNNNNNNNNNNNNNNNNNNNNNNNNNNNNNNNNNNNNNNNNNNNNNNNUUCUUAACUGGAAUGAAAUGAGCCGACUUGGUUAAUCGAUCUAUGAUUACCCAAAUCGAGUCAUUCCCCUUCCACGUGGUUGGUAAACCUGUGAUAAAGUCCAUACUGACCUCUUCCCAUUUCCACUAUGGAACUGAUAACGGUUGCAAUAGACCUGCAGGUUUCAUAUGGAUGGCCUUAACUCUGCAACACGUGUCACAACGGGCUACAUACGCAGCUAUGUCUUUCUUCAUCUUGGUCCACCAAAAGUGGGGUCUCAAGUCUUGGUACAUUUUACUACUGCCAGGAUGAAUAGAAAGCUUAGAGAGAUGGGCUUCAUCCAUGAUGCGAUUCUUCAAUUCCCGAUCCUUCGGGACUACUAACCGAUGUUGAAACCACAGUACCCCUUUCUCAUCAACUCGAAACUGAGCUUUUGGAUCGUCUUUGAUCCUCUCUUUGAGGUGGAAAAUACCCUUGUCUGUUUUCUGACCUUCAAUGACUUGACUCUCGAGUGAACAACUGAGUUGUAUGUGACAUAAGACCUCAGGAUGCAUAAGAUUGAACCCAUCUUCAAACAACGGUUGAACCAUUUGAUAGUGCGGUUUGCGACUCAAGGAAUCUGCUACUACAUUAGCUUUGCCUGGAUGGUAGUGAACUUUCAGAUCAUAGUCCUUGAUUAACUCUAACCACCGUUGUUGCCUCAUAUUUAGCUCGGAUUGAGUGAAGAUGUACUUCAAACUCUUAUGAUCAGUAUAAAUGUGACAUUUAUUUCCCAGUAAAUAGUGUCUCCAAAUCUUCAAAGCAUGUACCACUGCUGCUAACUCGAGGUCGUGAGUUGGGUAGUUGACUUCGUGCUUUCUCAACUGUCGGGAAGCAUAAGCUAUCACCCUGCCAUCUUGAAUCAACACACACCCCAGGCCACUCUUCGAUGCAUCGCAAAACACAUCAAAAGGCUUCUCUAUAUUGGGUUGUGCCAGAACGGGAGCAGUGGUUAGCAACUUUCGCAAGGUGCGGAAGGCUAACUCACACCCCUCCGUCCAGACAAACUUAUGAUCCUUUUGUAGCAAACUUGUCAUUGGCUUAGCAAUCUUGGAGAAGUCAGGUAUGAAUCGACGAUAAUACCCUGCCAGACCAAGAAAACUUCUAACUUCCGAGACAGAAGUUGGUGCCUUCCAGUCCAUGACUUCCUGCACUUUUGACGGAUCCACAGCAAUCCCUUCUUCAGACAGAAUGUGCCCUAGGAAAGGAACUUUCUUCAACCAGAACUCACACUUGCUGAACUUGGCAUAUAACUGAUGCUCUCGUAAUCGUGUUAACACGGUUCUCAGAUGCUUGGCGUGAUCUUGCUCAUUUUCUGAAUAAACCAGGAUAUCAUCGAUAAACACCACAACAAACUUAUCCAAUUCUGGCAUAAAGACUGAAUUCAUCAGAUACAUAAAGUAUGCAGGAGCAUUUGUCAACCCAAAGGACAUGACAAGGUACUCAUACAACCCGUAUCUGGUGGAAAAAGCAGUCUUCGGGAUAUCUUGCGGACGAAUCUUGAUUUGGUGAUACCCAGACCUCAAAUCUAUCUUGGAAAACACUUUUGCCUUGGACAACUGAUCAAAUAAGAUAUCGAUCCUUGGCAAGGGAUACUUAUUCUUGAUCGUCACUGCAUUGAGUGGAUGAUAGUCCACGCACAUGCACAACGAUUGAUCCUUCUUUUUUACAAACAACGCCGGACAACCCCAUUCCGACGAACUUGGAUGGAUGAAUCCUUUAUCCAGCAACUCCUUUAGUUGAUUUUUCAACUCGGCGAGUUCGUUAGGUGGCAUCCGGUACGGCCUUCUAGAUAUUGGUGCUGUACCUGGGAUCAACUCAAUUGCAAACUCUACUUCCCUAUCUGGGGGAAGUCCUGGUAAUUCCUCGGGAAAAACAUCAGGGAACUCACAGACUACUGGGAUCUAUGGUAAGGGAACCACAUGCGUAGCACAAGAGAUGAUAGCAAAGUCAAGACGACGGGGCAGAGGUACUUGAAAAGAGCUACUGCCCUGCGGUUCUCUGAGAGAUAACAUCCUCUUCCCAGCAUCUAUGAUGGCAUCCCAUUCUCUCAUCCAGUUCAUGCCCAUGAUAACAUCCAAAACUAACCCAGGCAUGACCACUAGAUUUACCCGAAAAACUCGGUCACUUAUAUCCAGGGUUGCCCCUCGAACCACUCUAUUGGUCAACACAUCCGCCCCUGCUGAGCUGAUGCGGUAGCCAUAACCCAGAUCUAUAACCGGUUGACUAUGCUUUUGUGCAAAUGCUUGGCUCAUGAAUGAAUGCGAUGAUCCAGAAUCAAACAAAACAACUGCAAGAUGUUGGUUGACAGGGAACAUACCAGCUGUUACCGGUUCUCCUUCUGGGAUCUCCUCGAUCGAGGUGUGAUGCACACGAGCUGGAUAGGUUGGUUGCUGCCUCUUGGGGUAGGGACAUUCCUUAACAAAGUGACCCAUCUUGUGGCAGUUAUAGCAUGGACCCUUGGGCGCAUUGUUGACGGCAGGUGCUGCAGCUUGAAUUGCCUUUGGCUUGGCAGGGGUUAUUGCCACCUUGUACGGCUUCUGCUGUGUUGGAUGCCCGGUGUUCCUUCUCUACGGCGGUUAGAACCUAGCACCUGGGGCAAGAGGACGAUACUGCGGUCGCCCUGCCUCUGGUGCCCUGGACUGGGAUGAUCCGGCUUCAAAAGCCCUCUUACGUGACUUGGAUGCACUGUAGUUGUUAUUAUUGUUCUCCUGGGUCAGGCAGUGACUGAUAUAGGCAUUGAAGGUAGCCCUGGCUCCUGUACCCAUGGUCUUCAGCAUCUUUGGAUUCAAGCCUCUCUGGAAACUAGCAAUCUUCUUGGCCUCCGUGUUCACAAACUCAGGGGCAUAGCGAGCGAGGUUGUUGAAAGCGUGUAGAUACUCCUUCACAGAUUUCGUCCCCUGGGACAGCCUCAUGAACUCCCCGAUCUUCAUUUCAUCUAAACACGGAGGAAUAUAAUUUCCCCGAAAAGCGGUGGUGAAGCGGUUCCAGGUAAUUGGGGUCCCCUCUGGGUAGGUGGUACGGUGAUGGGACCACCAAAUCCCCGCGGGUCCUUGCAACUGAUGUGCCGCAUACUCAGCCUUAUGCUCUUCUGUCAUUCGGAGAAGACGAAACUUCUGCUCCAUAGUGUUGAUCCACUCAUCUGCCUCGAGCGGUUCCAAAGCCUCUUUGAAAAUUGGUGGCUUGGUAUCCAUGAGGUCCUUGAAUGAGCUGUAUUGGUUGACUUCACGGCCGCCCUGGUUAUCCCCACGACGGGUGUUGUCAGCUAUGUUACGCAGAGCCUCUUCCAUGUUGCGUUGCAUCUAUUCCAUGUUGCGUUGGCUCCCUAGAAACUGCGCGAAAAACACGUCCGCAGUGUACGGAGGAGGCGGUGGUGGUGGCGGUGUUGGUGCUCUGUCCUCAUUACGUUGAGCCCCACCUCCGGACGUACCUGCUCCACGACCCGGAUUGCUGUUACCCCCGCCACGUGUUUGCACCAUCUGCAUACGUCAAUGAUAAGCAAUCGUUAGGGGUCGCCAUCAACGGUAGAAAUGUGUAGAAUCAUGCCGUACUGAAUUUACUGAGGGAAUAAAUUCGCACAAUAAACAGAGGCACAACAAUUCAUCAUCUACGCACAACAUCACUAACAGAUUACUUAACAUUCACGCAACAAGGUUCGUGUACAUCCAACUUGUCAGCAUACAUACACUGGACUUUCAGCACUAACUCAUAAGUCUUACAUGGCCCAGAUCCAAAAGUACACGACAUGCCAUGCGACAUACAACACAAAAGAAGAAGGACUAGCUCUAGAGCCCUAGCAUCUAGUCGCUAUGAUCACUGUCCAUGCCGGAGCCCUCCUCAUCCUCAUCACCACUAGCAGCUGCUCCUAUCUUGGGAUCCGCAUCCAUCUCGCCCUCAGAGUCUAGCUCAGCUGCUCCAGGCAGGUGGUGAGGGUGGAGCUGGUUAUGCAGCUGGUGGAUCUCCUCAUGCAAGUUCUCGUUGUACUCCUCGGCAUUGGCUAGCUGCUGCUCUAGCUAUAGCUGUCGGGCCCUCAAAUUGUCCUCCUCGUGCCAGGUUUCAUUCAUCUAUCCAAGCUCAUGGACUAGCAUGCGCUCGCAGUUCCUGCCAGCAGUAGUCGCCCUAUGCCUCUGCUCACGCACUGCAAGCAGGUCCUGACUCAGCUCACUAUUCUUCUGGACUGCCUGAUCUCUCUCUCUGGUCACACAGGCCAACUCUGCCUGCAGCCUCUCAACCUCAGAGUCGAACUCACACUGCAACUGACGCUUCUCAUCCUGGACGAUAAGAAGAGACCCGGACAAGCGACCCAAACAACGCUCUAGGCCUCCAUAGGUCUUCAUCAACGCGUACAUGGCACUCAUAGCUGUGCUGUCACUGUGCUGGUCCUCAUCCGCACUCCUCUCUAGAGCAUUCACCUUGGACUGAUCCCACACCGAAGUGUAGGGGUCACCCUGGGGAAACACCCCAGCAAAGGUGUGGGCCAGCUCCUGUGGAAACCUCUCCAUGAGGUCACUCAGAACUGCGAAAGAUGCCCUGCUAGCACUGUGGAAAGGCGUGAUACCUCGGGACUCGUACACCCAGCCGCCCCAAGCAGGGUCUCCUCCACUGGUAGGGACAACUGCCUCAAUCCCCACCAGUGUACCGUCACCAAGAAGCUCCUUAUCCCAAUAGUAGCGAGGCUCCCUUUCUUCCGGAUACCCCCAUCGAACUGAGCACCCUCCAAAGCAAAGUGGGCAUCCCAAACUCCUCCAGGAACUUGCUCUUAUGUCGUGAGCUCCUAGCUGCCAACGGAUGGCGAGGGGCCCGCCCACCAGUGGACUUGCGAGCGGUGAGCCUAGUGCGCGCCAUCUGCUGCAAUGGAAUACCUUGGGUAAGAGCGAGGAUUACCUUUAAUUAUUUUAUUUAGAAUUGGGACAGAUUAAAUUAAGGGGGAAAGUAAGCAAUGAUAUGAGAUGAACAUGAUGCAUGCGCGAACUUACGAUCUCACAAACUUAGAAACAAAGGUUAACACUAAGUGGUAUAUGCGGUGGCACACAACGUUCUCUCAUAACGUAACUAACGUUCUAAGCGAGAACGUGGUUAGUGUACCUGGAGAAAACUCAUUUCAGCCCGCCCACAAUAUGCUAAUGCAAAACAAGAAUUUUAAAACUACACACUCCACAUACACAGACACCCAUCCAUGCAUGUGACAUGUUACUACCCACAUCAUCGCCCUAAUGACGGCAUCGCCUCUCCGGACGGAAUUCCCAACAUGCGGUACUGUUCCCAAAACACACCAAAACAUGUGUGCAUGAUACAGCACCUAACAACACUCCCCUAGACCGGCAGUGUAUCCGAUCAUGCUCUCACAGCUCUCACUUACCAUGGCGUAGAGGAAAAAUUGAUCCAUACAUUACCACUCAAAUGAAUGGCACUCAUACUAUUGCACGCAGUAUGAGCGACGAAAUAAAAUAUGAUGCAUUAACCCCCAAGUCAGUACUUAACUAGCCACCUUAGAGUCCUUAACUGGGCAUAAAGGAUAUGACCAUGGCAUACUAGAUAGUUUUUCCCAAACGUAGUUUAACACCUUAUUCAUCAUUAAUUAAUAAAAUCUCUUAUUAAACCGGUUUAGAUUUUGUUUAGAACAUACUUAUGAACAGUAACUCGCUAAACCUUGCUCCGAUGCCAGCUGUAACAGAACCGACCAAAUUAUAAGAGAUUAAGCCUAACAGUGACCAUUUGCACAGUCAAACCAUCAGGCUUAAGCCCAUAUAAUCCUGGUACUCCGUGAAAUCUCGAAGGAUUUCAAACCACACGUCGCACAACAGCCAAGAUCGUAAUAAGUUUAGCGGUCGCCAUCCACAAAUACAUCCAGAUUACAACAUUUAUAAAAUACAUCGGAGUACUUAAAGUUAUUACAAACCAAGUUCUUCAAGUAGCGGGAGCUUCAUAGUUCGAAAAUACAACACACACAUUAAGUCUGAUACAGUGCCAUAGUUCGGUCAUUCCCACAAAAGCAAAAGAGAAGACGGAGUGACCAUCGCCCUUGGUCUAGUCAUCACCCAUGGCCGGGUACAGACAGAGGAUGCAAUAACCAUAGUACAGUUGACCAUCUGCAAAACAACAUGGGAGUAGAACCCUGAGUACGAGAAGGUACUUGUUGAUAUUUGGUAACGCAAUUAGAAAAUGAUCCGCAAGCGCACGGAUAUCGGUGAGCAUUUCACCCGGGAGGUUAUCCAGAGUUAUCGUAUUUAUAUUUUUACCACUGGGAGAAAGGGUGCAUCUGACUAACCAAAUCUAUUGCUACUACCCCUUUAGGCUACAAAGAAUGUCUCUCGAUGUGAGUGAUGUAUAGAGAAGACUACAACCGUAGUCUCGUUCUAACCUUGGUAAGGAUGAUCUACUGUUCUAUUGGGGAGGCUCACGGAAUCUAGACAACACAAAGGAUGUUCGACCCGCACCUAUAAACCUACCCGUCCUGCUAACGAGAUGUGGAAUACAAAGGUAACUCGGAAAUGUCACGUUCCUCGCUACUACCACGGUCCAGCUAGUCAGGGGAUAUCUAUGAGUACCCUAGCCUAAACACCACGUUUACGCUAACAAGUGAUUACUCUAAUACUCAACCGGAAGAGGAUUAAAGUAAACUCAUAAACCAAAGAACAAUAAAACAAGAACUUACUAGUAUUAGAAGUCGAAUUACUGAAGAAUCUUAGAAGUAAGCCUCGGGUUAGGAUACUUGAUCCCGCAGGUACAACUCGGAGUAGACACCGACAAGCCGGCCUUCCUCCGAUCCACACCUCCAGUCUAUCUCUCUCAAUCUAGUAGAAACUAGAAGAUCUAUUUCUACUUUACAUUGGUUGCUAAGCCUAAAAAGAAAUAUUAUUUAGAGAAGAGGUUUUCCUUCGAGGGCACCCCUCAAUCUCUAUGAUAAUUUCUUGUCUUCUCCAGGGGCCAGGGGGGUCUCCUUAUAUAGUCCUCCUCCUCUAUGCGUUUUUGGUUCAGCAGGCGAUGUGGUACUAAACUUUCCACCAUAUCUCAUUAAAAUGCACAUAGGCCUUAAUGGACCAAAAUCUGAUUUGGGCCCAAUUAAUCCCGCAGCUCUUUUAUAUGGAGUCCUUCUUUUAUUAAUAUCUCUUGAUUCCGAACUCCAAAUAUAGCAAAUAAUAUAUGCAUUUCGAUCAGCUCGACGAGACCUUUGCAAUGGUGUACUCCAUUCUGUGAUUGGUGGAAACACCUGGGUGGGCGCCCAAGGGGGGUGGGCGGGCGCCCUGCCCCCGGGCCUGUUUGCCUUCUCGUUCGUUCCCGUGGCUUCUGGAGUCUUCUAGAUGGUAGAAAAUUGCGCGGUGCGUUGAUAUCUCUAUGUAAUCCCUACAUGUGGGCCUUUCUUCCUUAUUUCCUGAUAACCCCCUGCAGAAAUAGACAAACACCAAAACUCGUGGAAUUCUGACAAAUAAAACCCUUAGUCUAGAUGUUGAUUUCAUGUGGAUCCUUUUCUUUGUUUAUUUGAUAAUUAAAUUUGAUACUUAAGGACCAUCAACAAGCUCCCCCAAGCUUAACCUUUGCUUGUCCCUGAGCAAAGAUGAACUCAAGAGUUUCUGCAGUGGUUUCAUGCCUUAAAGGUAAAUGCGUUCAAACAAGAUCUCAUCUCUAGGUUAGGGUAAACUGUUAAGAUUUUAACUUACUCAUUUUACCUUCCACCAUGGGGUUUGCAACCGUCACUUGUGCCUUGAGCAGUUAAAAGAUAGAACGGUCAAGUCAAGCGCCAUGUCUCUUAUUCUUGAUCAGCUAUAGCUCUAGGGUUUUUGCAAAUUUUCAAAUAAAACUCAGAGAUUCCUUAUAUGACUCUCUCAGAUCUCUCUUUUGUGGUAUUUCUGGAUCCUUACCAAGGUAGUAAUGGUAUAUGCCUUCUCUCAAAGUAUGUGGUAUUUUUGGUAUGAGGCAUAGUGAUAUUGCCUUCUCUCUCACCCUACUCUAAUAAGGUUUUGAUAUUUGGAGCUCAUAGUUGGGAGACAGCUAAUACAUACUUACAAGACAUUUAUUGCAUAGUCAAACCAUGGAUCCAGAGAAACAAGUCAAUAAGUCAAAUCAAGAUGUGCAUGUGUGGCGAGUGAAUGGUGUAUGGUGAUGAUGGUGAUAACAAUGAUGAAAGUCUAAUUCUACUUUUGCUCUUUUAAGGGGAUACAUACCUUUCUUGCACUUUGAAGCUUUUUUGGGGAGAAUGAGAUGCUCUAUAUUUUAUUUUUCUUUCCUCUCAGGUGGGUAUCUUGUACCCCUAAUUCUACUGUCGGACACUUGUCCAUUUUUACCUCUCGCCUCACUUUUUCUUUUCUUCGAGGUUCCGGGCACUUGCCCCUUUUUAUUUCCUCGUAUUAUUUUUUUUUCUUCUUUUUUUUAGAGCACUCAUCUCCUGAAAGAAUGUAGCAAGUGGUAGUAACCAAAAUAACUGGAGCAUUUAUUUCACAGGGAAUAACAGGGAUAGGAAAAUAUUUUUAGCUAUUCUCUCCCGGAUUAGGAGUAGAAUAAUUUUGGGUGAAUGUGGAGAUGGAAAUGAGUGGAUAUAUGUGGAUGGUACUUCCGGAGUAGAAGUAGCAUGUAUGAGUGAACGUGCAAGUGAAUCUUGAUUUUAACCACAUGACAAGCUCCUAAGGGUCUACACAGCUUGACCACACUCAAUGCUCAUAAGCAGUAAAAAGUAAAUAUGUGGCUCAAAGUCUAGCAAGCAUGUAUAUAUGGCUGUGGUAGGAUUUUAAACUCUCAUCAUACAGGAACUCAUCAUGUGUUAUUUUAAAGAUUUUUUUCAAAGAUAAAAUUCUCCAGAAUUCUAGCAUCUCUAGGAACAGAUAAACAGCAGCUCAACCUUCCCAUAUCAUAUCCGUUAACGACUUAGACUUUAGAUCAAGUACUCUUCCCACAAGUUUAGGUUUAGAGCAAGCUUUAAAUUAUAACAGUUAUGCCUAAACUUGAGAGAGAUUUCAAUUUUAAGAACUAGUCAUGGCAGAGCAACUAUUCAUCAUUUCUAUGAGAGAGUUUAUCAUGAGUGUUCAUAGCAAACUUUAUUUAUUUAUUUAUUUAGCAAAUUAAGCAAAGAUAUAUAUAUAAGCAUAAAAUCUUUAUUUGGUUUUUCCUGGUUUAUGUAUAUUUAUAUUUUAAUAUAGUAUAAGUAUAAAGAUAGAUAGAUAGAUAGAUAGAUAGAUAGAUAGAUAGAUAGAUAGAUAGAUAGAUAGAUAGAUAGAUAGAAAUACUUAUCGGGAUAAAUGGGGGUGCUCUCCCCCAAGCUGAAUUUUGACGUAAUUUCUCUUGAUGUAGUUAGCAGGUGGCAAAGGUGUACUUGAAAGUCAGCAGUAUUCUGAUAGCGAUUAAAAUGUCCUCCGUCUGCUAGUCUUCUUGAUUCUUAAAUCCUGUGGAGCUCAAAUAGACAACAAAGCUUUGUGGAACUGGUCAAGUGUUAGCAUAAAUACCUAGCCUUUAUCAUGUUGAGCCUCCUCAAUAAAUAUUAUUUAUUUAGCAGGAUCAUGCACUUAUUAUUUUUAUAUUUUUUUAUUGUAAAAUGAAAACUUAUUUAUUUUAUUUUUAUGCCAUGAGCAUACUCACAGUGAAUGUACUUAUGAGUUUUAUGCCAUGAGCAUACUCACAUGGGGCUUACUAUUUUUUUUUAACAUUUUUAUUUUCUUUUCAAGAUAGCAUGAACCUGAUUAACUAAGCAAACUAUAAUUGAAUAAUUGAAAGGAAAAGGAUAACUACCAAGUUUACCUCUUGGCAAGGUGUUCGGUGUUUUUAAGUCCUCCGAACGGGACUCUCCGUUUUCUCAGUCGUCCUGGGAUUCGCUAGGUGGCGUAGUCGGUGAUUCCGGCGGCGCCUCUCUUCGUGUAUAACUAUCUUCUCUCUCCACACCUGACUCGGUGCUACGGUCUGCUCAGGACAGUUCUAUUCAAGCUGUAUGUCUUCAGUCCUUAUCACUUCUCCUUCGUAGUCUACCCAUCCGUCCUUGAUGAUUUGCCUCCUCUGGUUGCGGUUGCGUUGUCUUCUUCUUGUCCUGACCUGCUUAGAGUCUUCAACUAUAUAGUUAUGGUCAGUAAAAUAGUUGCGUACCUUCUCAGAGGGAAAGUACAUGUGGACUUCUCCGGUUCCAAUGUAGAUGAUGGCUUUGAUAGUGUUGGAGGAACGGUCGUCCAAGGAUGGUAGGUAGAUCGUACUCGUCUUCUUCCAUGUCAAUGUUCUGAAAAUCAUCUGGAGCUGAAUAUAUAUUGGUUGUAGGGGCAUGGUUCCAUGCAGGAGCUGAUAAGUGACUACGGUCAUUACGUUGACGUCACAUCCGGUGUCGUAGAGUGUCUUCUAAAAAGAGUAUCUGUUGAUUGUGCACUCAAUGCUUGGAACACCAGGGUCGUCCUUCUUGAUCAAGAAAGGUGACUUGAGUCGACGAUCUUGACCUCUUACGAUAAGGAUCCAAUGUUUUAAGUCUUCUGGACAAGACUUCUCACUGUCUUCAUCCUUUAGGUGCAUCAUUUGAUUAGGUGUGGACCUUGACGUCUGCACCUCUUGAUACGGUGUCACCUAUGUUCUUUGUUUGCCCAGCAGUUCGAAGUGCGGUGUUGGCAAUAUCCUGCUCAGUGUGUUUGUGCUCAUAGAUCCAGGUCCUUCACUUGGUGGAGUCUAGGAGUUGUAAAACUCCUUCAGGUCUUGCUCGAAGUGUACCUAUUCAUAGAGACAAGGCAGAGAUCAAGUGCAUGGGCCCUGAUGGUGGAAAACACCAACAGAACCAAAAGUAUAUUUAUUCUUCUCUAACCUUAAGCAUAGUGAGCAAGACAAAGUUGAUGGAUAAUAAGAUCAGGAGUGUAGUAUUUAAAACAUUUGUCAGAUCAGAUGGCUCAACCUAAUGGAAAGAUAAUCUAUCUAUAUUUAUGUUUUGUUUAUAUCUUCCAAAGAUUGAAUGUGCGACAUAUUAACUUAUAUGAUUAGGAGUGUGGGAUCACGGAGGUAGUACUAAGAACAAAGAUUAAAGGACUAAACAUGUUGAAUUAAUUGGGUUGAUUAAUUUGGAGCUACAAAUCAUACAUGUUUGUCACUUUUAUUCAUGUGUAUGCCAGAACCAAAGAGAAGCUUAUAAAAGCAAUAGUCAAGUACCUUAAGGUGUUACCUUACUUGAAGAGUGACGGUACAGUAUCACCUUGUGGAAGCUUUCCUUUCUUAGCGGUUGUGCAUCGUGUUUGUGGCACCCUCCAGGGAUCAUCUCUUAUGAGCUACGUCUUCCUUGUGUAAAUUGUUAAACUUCAUGUGUCCCUCUCCUUGUCUCCAAUGUGAGUUUAUCUCAGGACUUCCCAGGUUGAUAUUGAAAGUUUUCCUGCAGGGGUUAGUACAACAAAAUAUCCCAUAUCUACUAUAGCAUACUAUCGGCUCCAAAAUCAACCUAGACACCAUGUCUAAUUUGAUUUAGAAGGGCAUUUUAUCCUAAGCACCACGCUUAAUUUAAAUGCCAUUGGAAGUGUGUCCAGUACUUCCAAACUAACACUUACUAGGAUAAACAAAGGUAGCAUGAUGGCUUUUAUAGAGAUCUACUCAAGUGGAGAUGAAGUAGUGUACUUAACAAAUUGAGCAUGUCUCAAAGGUAAGGACAACCAAUAUAGUGUUGACGGUUCUUAAGUAUCAAUUUUAAUUAUCAAAUAAACAAGAGAAAGGACCAAUAUGCAACCAUGACCUAGAAUUAGGGUUUGAUUUGAUAGAAUUCCACGAGUUUUGUUGUUUAUCUGUUUCUGCAAGGGGUUAUCAGGAAAUAAGGAAGAAAGGCCCACAAGUCGGGAUUACAUAGAGAUAUCAACGCACCGCACGAUUUUACAUCAUCUAGAAGACUCCAGAAGCCACGAGACCGAAGCGGAGGCGAAACUGGGCCAGGCCCAGGGCGCCCGCCCUGGUAGCCUGGGCGCCCACCCCCCUGUUGGAGCCAAAUCAGGACUCUUUCGCUCGGUAUAUUCCACCGACCUAUUGGAUCAAGAAAAACAUAGUACCACCUCGCCUAUCGACCCAAAAACGCAUAGAAGGGGAGGACUAUAUAAGCAAGGCCCCCUAGCCCCUGGAGAAGACAUGAAGAAAUUAUCAUAGAGACUGAGGGGUGCCCUCGAAGGAAAACCUCUUCUCUAAUUAAUAUUUCUUUUUAGGCUUAGCAAUCAAUGUAAGGUAGAAAUAGAUCUUCUAGUUUCUACUAGAUUGAGAGAGAUAGAGUGGAGGUGUAGAGUGGAGGAAGCCCGGCCUGUCGGUGUCUACUCCAAGCUUGUACCUGCGGGAUCAAGUUCUCCUAACCCGAAGCUUGCUCCUAGGAUUCUUCAGUAAUUCGACUUCUAAAUUCUAGUAAGUUCUUGUUUUAUUGUUCUUAUGGUUUAUGAGUUUACUUUAAUCUCUUCGCAUAGAGUUUAGAGUAAUCAUUGCUGGCGUAAACGUGGUGUUUAGGCUGGGGUACUCAUAGAUCUUCCCUGACUAGCUGGACCGUGGUAGUAGUGAGGAACGUGACAAUUCCGAGCUACCUUUGUAGAUCACAUCUCGUUAGCAGGAAGGAUAGGGUUUAUAGGUGCGGGUUGAACAUCCUUUGUGGUGUCUAGAUUCCGUUAGCCUCCCUAUUAGAACAGUAGAUCAUCCUUACCAAGGUUAGAAGGAGACUACGGUUGCAGUCUUCUCUAUUUAUCACUCACAUCGAAAGACAUUCUUUGUGCCUAAAGGUUAGUAGUAAUAGACCGGUUAGUCAGAUGCACUCUUUCUCCUAGUGGUAAAAAAAUAAAUACGAUACUCUGGAUAACCUCCCGGGUGAAGUGCUCACCGAUAUCCGUGCGCUUGCAGAUCAAUUCCUUAUUGCGUUCCCAAAUAUCAACAUAUAGCAGCAUGGAAAGGAUGUUUUAUGUAAAGUACUCCCCCAAAAUUCAAGAUUGGAUGAAUUUAAUUUAAUGUUGCAUGAUGAUUGGUUGGGCAUACCUUGCGCUUGUCAUUCAUUCGAUCUUCUUGCUCCAAUCCUGGAAAGGUUAGUGGCAAGAAUACCUGAAGGAAUAUUUCUAUAAUUAUCUCAAUAUGCUCCAUACACAAGGCAAUGUUGCAAAUAAUUAGAAGUUCAUGUUACGAUCUGAUAAGUGUUUGCUAAGCUUAUCCUUGGGAAACCAUCAAGUUAUGUUGGUGAAGUGGUUUCCCCUCCAACACCUACCUAUAUCAAGAUCAACUCAACGAGAUCUACAACAUUUAUUAUAGACAUAUGCAUCGACAACCACUCUUUUAAAGUUUUUAUAAAUAGAAAGGAAGAGGGGGUUGGAGAUCUCAAAUGUGGUGAUGAUGGAGAGACCGAUUGAUUGGGGAGAUGUUUUAUAUGAGCAAGGACUUGGUAAGGUAUUUAUGAAAUAACUUCCAAGCUCACUGUUGUUUCUCUCAUUCUCAAACUCCAAGGAUGAUUCUUCAUGAAUGCUUAAAAUUCUUCUAGGAUUGUCUCUCAAGUUUGUUUUAUCUAUCCAUUCAAUGGUGAUAGCACAUGGAUUUUUAAUGCCCUUUAGCCAUUGAUGUUGCUCUUCUCGAUCCUCCUUGUGAUCUUGGUGACUCUUAUGCAUGGGAUGUCUAGAGAGAUUCAUAGGAUUAUCGGGAGGUUCAAGAGAAAGAGCAUAGAGAUUAUUAGGCUCAAGGAUGGGAUGGAUAUCCGAAUUAUGGGAUUGAAAUGUUUGGAAAUUGGCUAUGGAAACUUCCUUUCCUCGUCUGGGAGAUGAUUCCUUCUCUAUCUCUAAGAUUUUUCUAUGAAGACUAGUGAAAGAAGGAUGUCCACAAAUGAAGACAUACCUUCAUUUACUAAUAGAUAAAGAAAGAAAGACACUACCAAAUGUUAUAUGAUUAAGACCAAUGUGAAAAUAUUUAGGAAAAACAUGGUCUUGUAGGGCUAGGUCUAAACCAGAAUUUAUAGAAAGAUUAACAGAUUCCCUAGGUGUAGCUAAAAGUGCAUUAUCUUCUUGAUUAAAAGAUAGGACCUCAGCUAUAGAAAAGGGUUGGUUUUGACCUAUUGCAAUCAACUCCGGACACAGAUCAUAAUUAGGGGCAGGACGUGUUGACUCCCAUGGUCUAUGGCUGGUCUCCGAAGGUGCAAAGAAUUCAAUAAUAGGUACGGAAUUUAAGUUAUCCAUAAAGAUAAAAAGAUAAAAGAAUAAAAGUAUAAAAGUAUAAUACAAGAUAAUAGCAAGACUCAAAGUUAUCUCAGCAAACCGUCUUUCUUCCCGGCAACGGCGCCAGAAAUGCUUGUUGAUAUUUGGUAACGCAAUUAGAAAAUGAUCCGCAAGCGCACGGAUAUCGGUGAGCAUUUCACCCGGGAGGUUAUCCAGAGUUAUCGUAUUUAUAUUUUUACCACUGGGAGAAAGGGUGCAUCUGACUAACCAAAUCUAUUGCUACUACCCCUUUAGGCUACAAAGAAUGUCUCUCGAUGUGAGUGAUGUAUAGAGAAGACUACAACCGUAGUCUCGUUCUAACCUUGGUAAGGAUGAUCUACGGUUCUAUUGGGGAGGCCCACGGAAUCUAGACAACACAAAGGAUGUUCGACCCGCACCUAUAAACCUACCCGUCCUGCUAACGAGAUGUGGAAUACAAAGGUAACUCGGAAAUGUCACGUUCCCCGCUACUACCACGGUCCAGCUAGUCAGGGGAUAUCUAUGAGUACCCUAGCCUAAACACCAUGUUUACGCUAACAAGUGAUUACUCUAAUACUCAACCGGAAGAGGAUUAAAGUAAACUCAUAAACCAAAGAACAAUAAAACAAGAACUUACUAGUAUUAGAAGUUGUUGGGUAUUUUAAACGCAAACAGAAAAAUCCGUAAGCGCACGGAUAUCGAUGUAGCCUUCACCCGGGAGUAUUCCAGAGUAUCGAUUUUCCACAGGGAACGUGAGUGUCCUAAUUAAGAUUCAAGAUCGCCCAAGGAUAACUAUAUAAUUAUUUUUUUUUGGUGGGAAGAGAGGAAGUUUCCUGAGAGUUCUCUAGUUGAUCUAAGAAUCAAGAAUUACUUCAAGAUUAUCUAUUUCGGGACAUCAGAGCACUAACCACAGAAAGAGAUGAGAAGGGGGCUAGGAAGGUCUGACUACGGUCCUACAAACACCGAUCCGAACGAGGUGGAAUACGUCGACCGUUAGGGCUGUCACUACCCUAAGGCUACCACAACAAUCCGCAGGAUUGGGUGCAAUUCCAGGUAAUUGCAAGACUAAACACCACGUCUAAUCUAUUAAUUACUACUCUAAUGUUGCAAAGAUUAGAGCACUUGAUGCAAGCGGGAAUCCAAUAAAUAACUUGAAUGUAAAUAAAAGUAAUUAAAGAACUCAGGAUUAUGAAUUGAAGAACCUGGAGAACGAUGAAGAACGAACCAGUUGCGGCAAAAGUACAAUGUUGAGGAAGAUCCGACAGAUCCGGCUCCUCCUCCUCCGCUCUCCUCUUCUCUCUCCCUAUUUUCUUGAUUACAACUAGAACUAACUAGAACUAGAACUAGAGGAACUAGAACUAGAACUAGAUGAACUAGAACUAGAUCUAGAUGAACUAGAGGUAGAACUAGAAGAACUAGAGGGAUCCUCUCUACUUGGAUGAAGAAUUGAAACCCUAGCUUUGAUUCUGUAGAAGAGGUAUGAUCUUCAGGGGCCAGGGGGUCUGGUUUUAUAGUCCCUUCAAGUGAAUCUAGGCCGUCGGAUCAAACCGACAUUGAUCGCAUGGUUUUCCUUGAUCCUUUAGGUCGGUGGAGCAUAAUCCGCGAAACGUGUCCUGAUUGGGCACUGUAGCUGGGCGGGCGCCCAGGAGAGUUGGGCGGGCGCCCUGCCUCCGAGCCCGAUUUCCUUCCCGUUCGUUCCCGUGGCUUCUAGAGUCUUCUAGAUGAUAGAAAAUUGCGCGACACGUUAAUAUCUCUAUGUAAACCCGACGUGUGGGAGUUUCUUCCGUAUUUCCUGAUAACCCCCUGCAGAAAUAGACAAACACCAAAACUCGUGGAAUUCUGUCAGAUAAAACCCUAAUUCUAGGUGUUGGUUGCAUUUGGAUCCUUUUCCAUGAUUAGUUGAUGGUUAAAUCUGAGCAUUAAGGACCGUCAACAGAAGCAAGCCUCGGGUUAGGAGACUUGAUCCCGCAGGUACAACUCGGAGUAGACACCGACAGGCCGGCCUUCCUCCGAUCCACACCUCCACUCUAUCUCUCUCAAUCUAGUAGAAACUAGAAGAUCUAUUUCUACUUUACAUUGGUUGCUAAGCCUAAAAAGAAAUAUUAUUUAGAGAAGAGGUUUUCCUUCGAGGGCACCCCUCAAUCUCUAUGAUAAUUUCUUGUCUUCUCCAGGGGCCAGGGGGGUCUCCUUAUAUAGUCCUCCUCCUCUAUGCGUUUUUGGUUCAGCAGGCGAUGUGGUACUAAACUUUCCACCAUAUCUCAUUAAAAUGCACAUAGGCCUUAAUGGACCAAAAUCUGAUUUGGGCCCAAUUAAUCCCGCAGCUCUUUUAUAUGGAGUCCUUUUAUUAAUAUCUCUUGAUUCCGAACUCCAAAUAUAGCAAAUAAUAUAUGCAUUUCGAUCAGCUCGACAAGAUCUUUGCAAUGGUGUACUCCAUUCUGUGAUUGGUGGAAACACCUGGGCGGGCGCCCAAGGGGGGUGGGCGGGCGCCCUGCCCUCGGGCCCGUUUGCCUUCUCGUUCGUUCCCGUGGCUUCUGGAGUCUUCUAGAUGGUAGAAAAUUGCGUGGUGCGUUGAUAUCUCUAUGUAAUCCCGACAUGUGGGCCUUUCUUCCUUAUUUCCUGAUAACCCCCUGCAGAAAUAGACAAACACCAAAACUCGUGGAAUUCUGUCAAAUAAAACCCUAAGUCUAGAUGUUGAUUUCAUGUGGAUCCUUUUCUUUGUUUAUUUGAUAAUUAAAUUUGAUACUUAAGGACCGUCAACAGUACUCAGCUAGACUUACCCGACAUAAAUUAAAAUAAAGACUCUUCAAGGAUCAUGAAGGCUAUAUAGUGAGGUAGCUGACGACCAUUUUGCAAAACCGCAGAAUUCUAUUAUCAUCACCUAGAUAAAUCUUUUCUUCUUUUAAUUUGCUCAAGUUGAAGGUAUCAUUACCUAUUAUCAAGGUUUUGCACCUGAACUAUUACAAGCAAUUAUAAAGAUAUGAUAGUACCUCAUCAUAGCAUUCAUAAACCAUUUAUCAUUAUAACCCAAGUGCUCCAUAGUCCUUACUACGAGGACGAAGCUCAUGUCAAGUGCUCACUAUCCAGGAGCGAUGGCGAUUCGAAUCGAUUUCUAACCAGCUGGCGAGGUAUUCCCCACACAAACCACACUCACUGAUCAAGUGAGCUACAGAUCACCGUAUUACACUAUCCAGGACCAAUUCGCGGGUUCGGCAGGCACCGCCAGUACCCGAGGACCGUUCCGGCGACCGAGGUAUCCAAGGUAUACCAAGGUUGCGCGCCGCGCCCUCGUCAUUCUCCUCAACCAUCACCAAUACAGCGCAUGGCGGCUCGAUUCCCGGCCCGGAUAGUGUUCAGGCUUCGCGGUCGGAACGGCUUAUCCUUCCAGCUAAGUGUGGGGCAUGCGUUCAACAUGACAAGAGGGCCGUCAACGACCGGUCCUUAAUCGACACAGGCAGAGGCACUAUGGUCAAACCACCAUAAGACCCGGCCUGGUCUCAAAUUCCAUUCCACACUUGGUUAUUCUUUUCCCAAAGCAACCACUGCUUACCCAAGCAGGUAUCCACCUAUAUCUCGCAGGUGACCGGAAAUCACCCGACUUCUACCGGACUAUGCAAGCUAAGCAUCGACUCCGUACCUAUCUACAUAGGACAAGGUAGAUAAAUGAGGGGUGAUAUCAAGGAGUACCAAUGCAUCAACGGUAUCAACCAACUCCUAUCACUUAGAUGCAGUAAUAUAGAACAAGCAUAAUAUAUCCUGUAAGUUAGCGAGAAUAGGGAGACUUAGAAUGCUCUGGGGCUUGCCUUUCUCAAACAUGCUGGCUCGGUGAUGCGGACACUCCUGCAGUUCCUCUCUGGACUCCUGUGCUUCCGGAGGUUCCUGCUCGUGAAUCUCCUCUGGUUCCUCGGGUCCCACCUCGUUCUCCUGCGAGCCUGUAUGAUGCAUGUGUGCUCAUGAGUGGAGUGCGAGAUGCCCGAGUGGAUGCUUGUAUGAGAAGGUACCAAAGGAUCAUGACAUGAUGCAUAGAUGAUACACUUGGUCAUGCUCAUUACAAGGUAGUCAACAUCAUCCAGGAACAGACAAUUGGACUAAACAUCUAGUGCAUUCUCUUCUACAAGUAUUUUUCAAGUGUGACCAGCAACCCACAAGUUGCUUCAAAGAUACACCAAACCCAAACUUAUUCUAUUCAACCUAUACAUACAACAAUUCAUAAUUUUCUUUAUUCAUUUCUAGGCCCAUUAAAUUUACAUGCAGUUCUGUUCAUGAAUAAAUUCCUCAAAAAUCACAGGAGACUACCAGUCAAGCAUAAAGUCUACUGUAAAUUUUUCAUAAUUUUUGGAUACUUAUUUUGAGCUACAAAAAUCACAGGAUUAAUUAAUAAGGUAAGUAUAAUCACUCUACUGUGAUAUAAGUGUCAAACAACAGAUUUCAUAUUUUUACAAUUUGUCUAAUAUCAUAAGAUACACCCACAAAAUUUUCCAGAUUUAUUGCAUGAUCCAAUUAAUUUUUAAAAAUCAUAAACCACUGCCAUGCAAGCAUUUAAAUUACCAUAAAUUCAUUUAUACACCAAAUAAUAUGUAGCAAUAUUUUCCCAGUGAGUAAACAUACAUGCAGAGCCAACAAAUCAAGUUUCACAUUUUUCUCAACCAUAUUUUAAUUACUAUGCAUUUUCAAAGUUUAGCAAAAAACAUGGAUUAAAUAUUUUCAUACAGAAAAGUUACUCAAACAUGACAUGCAAUUACAUCAAACUGUAGAUCUGGAAAUAUAGAGCACACCAAAAUUUAUUUCAUCAAAUUUCGAGCUGUAGAACUCAAGAUAUGAAUUUUAAAACUUUCGAAUCGAUUUCUGGAAAACAUUUAUUCAAGAAAACCGACGAAAAAGGCUAAACACACCCUGAUCUACACCCACCGGGGUCCCCCUGUGACUGACAGUGGGCCUCUGGCCCCACUGUUCAGCGAGACUGAGAGGGAGCUCACCUCCGACGAGCAGAUCUCGCCGGCGGUGAGGUCCCCGGCCACGGGGUGAGCACCAACGUGCUCCCCGCAGCGAGGCGCACCCAGCGGUACUCUCGGAUUGACCGGAGGAUGGCCGGAGCACCUCCGACGAGCGUGCAUGGUGGCACAGCGGCGCUGCUCGCCGUGGCCAGGCCGCUCGGGCGUGGUAGAGCGUGCGCAUACGGCUCUCCGAGCUUCCUCACCACCCUACCGACCUAGCGCAACCAAAAACCAGCAAAAAGAGGCAGGGAAACGCAAGAUACGUCGCGGCGGAGUACUCCGGCGAGCUCGGGGUAACUCCGGCGAGCUAUUCACGGCGCUCGAUGGACUCUCACCUCGGUAGAACGCUCGCACAAGCUUACCCUAACGAUGGCAAAGGCGCUGGUGGCUUCGGUGUCGAGUUUUGGUCACCGGAGUGGCCGGCGGUGAGCAGCGGAGCUGCUCCGGCGAUGGCGCCGCGGCGGAGUUCUACGGCUCGGUUGCGCUCGCGAGCGGAGGGAGGAAGGAGAAGGGCGUGGGCGACAGGAUGGAGGGAAUGGCCUGGGAGCCCGAGCCGGCGUCCCGACCAGGGGGUGUUGGAGGCCGGCCGCGGCGCGCUCCUCGCCAGCGUACGGCCGCCAUGUGGCCGACGCUGGCUGGGACGAGGCGCGUCCGCGCGCGGGAGAGAGGGGGAGGGGGAAGCAGGCCGGGCCGCUCGCUGGGCCGAAAGGGAGGCGGGGUUGGCCCGGCAGCGCCUGCCCCUUUUCAUUUUUUUUUGAAUUUCUUUUCUCCAAAUCCUUUCUAAAUUCAUUUGGACCAAUUUAAAAUCAUUUUCACCUCUUGCUCCCAAAAACAAAGUUGUUCCAAAACAAAAACCCCACAACUUUGUUUUAAUAAGCAAGACCAAAUUCCCAACAGAAUUUGAAUUACAAAUUAAAACUAGUUCUAGGUUUUCAAAUAAAUUCAAUUUGGGGAUUUUUGUAUAAAUUCCAUUUCUCAAAUUCUAUAGCUCCAAAAAUUGCACAAAAAUAUUCUUAAUUCUUCUUACACAUAAUUCAACCUAGUUUGAAUAUUUCACAUUUUUAGAAGCAAGCAUCAUAUUUUUAGCAUAAUUAAAACACAUGAAAUAAAGCACACAAAAUCAUGUUUUUGGGAUGAAUGACAUGCUCAUGAUGCUAUGCUUGAUGAGAAUGCUUAUGCAUGUUGUAAUAGGGCUAAAUGCAUGCUUAACACCUAGGGUGUUACAGGGGCCAUUGCUCAGGCUGGCAAGGCUAUCGAGGAUCUCCGCGUUGCCAACACUGUGCUGGCCCGCUCCACCAAAGAGAUCGAGAGGGCCAACACCAGACUAGUUGGCGAGAACACGGCCUUGGAGGAGAGUGUCCGUAGUACGUUUCCUCUGUCGGAUUUCUUUUUUGAGGUGUGCUUGGUUUUUCCUAAAGUUUCUUGUAUUGGCAUUUACAGGGCUUAAGGACGAACUCUUAGCCACCCAAGUUGAGGCCCGUAGUGCUAAGGCCCAGCUCGAGGCGGAGGUUGCUUUGAACCGUCGAGUGCGGACGGCGAUAAACGACCUCUCGACCUCUUGGGAGGUCGAGCCUAUGGACGAGUCGAAGGAGGUCGAGCCUAUGGUCGACCAGCUGUGCUACUUAGGCGCGAUGCUGAGAGAUCGGGUGCGGGAUGCCCUCCACAUCGGGGUGAAGCGGGCGAUGGCGGUUGUCUGCUCGGGCUUCACCUACGACAUGGAGGUGGUGUCCCACGGCUUCGUCACCGACAUCUCCAUGACCGACGCGGAGAACGAAGAGAGGCUCCAUGCCUUGAUCGACGACGCGGAGGCUCCUGGAGAGAGGCUGGCCAAGCUUUCUGAGCCUGAGGUGCUUCCUCCUGAGACUAGCUCGGGCGCAGGCGAGGGUGGUGAGGAUCGUGCUGUAGACUAAGGCCUGCGAGCCUUCUUUGGGUGCUGGGGGCCCCUUGUAUAGUACUCCUAUUAACUUGUUUUUAAGGGAUAUGGUGUCUUUAAGUAUUUGUUAAAUGUUUAUCUGUCUUUCCGCUCAAGGCUCUUUUAUUUCCCUUUGCGCCUACGUUUGUAUUCCUCGUUCGAUCUUUUGUCAAAAACAGCCUGGAUCACCUCAAGGGUGGGGAAGUGAGUAGAGUUUCCAUAGCCUGGGGGCGUAGGAGUUCUCAGGCUUGUUGUCCCUCGUCCCUUAAGGGGCUGGAGGCACCUCAACUUACUCGAACGUGCAAGGUUUACUAGGUUUCUUGGCUUUUUCGACACUUGGGGGGGUCGCCCCCCCUGGUAGCCCCCGAGGGAGUAUCGACUAUGAUGGGUCAUAGUUGGUACUCCCUUCUGACGUCGAGAUUUGAGAAAGUAAAUCGCUCGAGGGAAAGACUUCAUUUAUUCAUACAUUCAUUUACAAGGCCUUGGUACAGAAUGUACGUAGGAACAUAAAGUUUUGAACUUCUAGGGGUAGAAUCGACGUAGCUGUUCGAUGUUCCACGCGUUGGUGAAGAUCGUCCCCUUUUCAUCCGCGAGCUUGUAUGUCCCUGGCUUCAGGACCUCGGCCACCACGUAUGGGCCCUCCCAAGGUGGAGUCAGCUUGUGGCGUCCUUGAUUACUUUGCCGGCGUCGUAGGACAAGGUCGCCCACGUUUAAGUCCCUCUUGCGCACGUGGUUGUCGUGGUAGCGUCGAAGUCUCUGCUGGUAUCUGGCAGAGUUAAGGAGGGCCAUGUCUCGAGCCUCCUCGAGUUGGUCGACCAUGUUUUCUUGAGUCUCCUUAUUUGAUUGCUCGUUGUACGCUUUAAGUCGAGGGGACCCAUACUCGAGGUCUGUGGGGAGGACGGCCUUAGAGCCAUAGACCAUGAAGAAUGGGGUGUAUUUUGUGGCCCUGCUUGGUGUUGUCCUUAGGCUCCAUAGGACCGAGGAAAGCUCCUCGACCCACUUUUUGCCGAAUUUCUUCAAGCGAUUGUAGAUCCUUGGCUUGAGUCCUUGUAAAAUCCUACCGUUGGCACGCUCGACCUGGCCGUUAGUUCGAGGGUGGGCUACUGCAGACCAGUUCACACGGAUGUGAUGCUGAUCGCAGAAGUCCAAGAACUUUUUGCCGGUGAACUGAGUGCCGUUGUCGGUGUUGAUGACGUUGGGAAUCCCAAACCGGUGGAUGAUGUCGGUGAAGAAAAGGACGGCCUGCUCGGAGCGGAUGUUGGUGAUGGGUCGAGCCUCGAUCCAUUUGGAGAAUUUGUCGAUGGCCACGAGCAAGUGGGUGUACCCUCCUUUCGCCUAUUGUAGGGGCCCUACUAAGUCGAGCCCCCACACCGCAAAUGGCCAUGUAAUGGGGAUCAUCUGAAGAGCGUGGGCGGGCAGAUGCGUCUGUUUGGCGUAGAACUGGCACCCAUGACAUGAGCGUACGAUCUUGAUGGCAUCUGUUACGGCCGUUGGCCAGUAGAAGCCUUGUCCGAAGGCGUUACCUACGAGGGUCCGUGGAGCGGCGUGGUGGCCGCAAGCCCCCGAGUGUAAGUCCUCGAGGAGUUUCCGGCCUUCUUCCACGGUGAUGCAACGCUGCAAGACCCCCAUCGGGCUUCGUCGAUAUAGCUCAUUGCCUUCGCCAUAAAUCACAUAUGACUUGGCCUGUCGAGCGAUACGGCGGGCCUCAGACCGAUCUUCUGGCAGCUCGCAGCGGAUUAGGCAGUCGAGGAACGGUGUACGCCAGUUGAGCGGUCGACCGGGCCGCUGUUCUACCUCCAUCACCUCAACUGCCAUCAAUGGUGCGUCGACGGUGUCGGUUGGCUGGGCGAGAGCGGCAUCGACGCCAGCCCCCAAGCCCAAGUCGACGGAUGGCUCGUGAAGAUCUUUCGAGAACGCGUCAGGUGGUACCGUGCCUCAGGUCGACGCGAUCUUGGCGAGUUCGUCGGCUGCCUCGUUGUAGCGUCGGGCGACAUGGACGAGCUCGAGGCCAUGGAAUUUGUCCUCGAGUCGACGGACUUCUUUGCAGUAUGCCUCCAUUUUCGGGUCGUGGCAGCUUGAAGUCUUCAUCACUUGGUCGAUGACAAGUUGGGAGUCGCCUCGGACGUCGAGGCGUCGGACCCCUAGCGCGAUGUCGAUCUUGAGACCGUUGACGAGGGCCUUGUAUUCUGCGACAUUGUUGGAUGCGGCAAAGUGAAUCCUGAUGAUGUACCUCAUAUGGACGCCCAAGGGCGAGAUGAAUAGCAGGCCGGCCCUGGCCCCCAUCUUCAUGAGUGACCUGUCGAAAUACAUCAUCCACAGCUCCGACUGGACCUGAGUUGGGGGAAGCUGGGAGUCUGUCCAUUCCGCGACGAAGUCUACCAGAGCUUGCGAUUUGAUGGCCUUGCGAGGCGCAUAAGUGAGAGUCUCACUCAUGAGCUCGACCGACCAUUUAGCUAUUCUUCCCGUGGCCUCCUUACUCUGGAUUAUCUCACCCAGGGGGAAAGAUGAGACCACCAUGAUAGGGUGGCCGAGGAAGUAGUGCUGCAGCUUACGGCGGGCGAGGAUUACGGCAUAGAUCAGCUUCUGGAUUUGGGGGUAACGUCCCUUGGUCUCUGAGAGCACCUCGCUGUCGAAAUAUACUGGCCUCUGGACUGGCAACGCAUGCCCCUCCUCCUGCCUUUCGACCACCACCACUGCACUGACAACCUAGGUCGUCAAGGCAACAUAAAGGAGCAGUGGUUCCGCAGGUUGAGGUGGGACUAUGACUGGUGCUUAGGUCAGUGUUUUCUUCAGAUUUUCGAGGGCUCCCUCGGCCUCGGGGGUCCAAGAAAAACGAUCGACCUUCUUCAGGAGUCGAUACAGCGGUAGCGCCUUUUCUCCUAAUCUCGAGAUGAAACAGCUCAGCGCCGCUAGGCAUCCCGUGACUCUCUGCACACCCUUGAUGUCUCGAAUCGGCCCCAUCCUUGUGAUGGCUGAGACUUUCUCGGGGUUGGCCUCGAUGCCGCGCUGGGAAACAAUGUAGCCCAAGAGCAUGCCUCGUGGCACACCGAAAACGCAUUUCUCGGGAUUCAGCUUGAUCUGGUUGGCGUGUAAGCAGCUAAAGCGAUCUUGAGGUCCUGGAUCAGGUCUCCUUGACGCUUUGAUUUGACGACUAUGUCGUCGACAUAGGCCUCGACCGUCGACCCUAUAUGCUUGCCAAAUACGUGGAGCAUGCAACGUUGGUAUGUGGCUCCCGCAUUUUGAAGCCCAAACGGCAUGCUUACAUAGCUGUACAUCCCGAGAGGUGUGAUGAAAGAGGUCGCGAGCUGGUCGGACUCUUUCAUUUUUAUUUGAUGGUAACCAGAAUAUGCAUCAAGAAAAGAAAGGGUUUCACAUCCCGCAGUAGAAUCAACAAUUUGAUCAAUACGUGGUAAUGGAAAGGGAAUUUUCGGACAUGCUUUAUUUAAACUCGUAUAAUCGACACACAUCCUCAUUUUCCCAUUCUUUUUCUUAACUAGUACAGGGUUUGCUAACCAGUCAGGAUGAUGAACCUCCUUGAUGAAUCCGGCCGACAAAAGCUUGUGGACCUCCUCGCCAAUGAUCUUGCACUUCUCCUCGUCGAAUCGGCAUAACCGUUGCUUCACUGGCUUGGAACCGGCUCGAAUCUGCAAGGAGUGCUCGGCGACCUCCCUCGGUAUGCCUGGCAUGUCCGAGGGACUCCAUGCAAACAUGUCGGCGUUCGCAUGGAGAAAGUCGACGAGCACAGCUUCCUAUUUGGGGCCGAGGUCGGCGCUGAUCGUCAGCACCUUGCCGUCGGAGUUGUUGGGGUCGAGCGGGAUCUUCUUGGUUCCCUCUGCCGGCUCGAAGCUGCCCGCGUGGUGUUUGGGCUCUGGAGCCUCAGCGGCCAGGGCCUCGAGUUUUGCGACGAGCUCGGUGGAGUUCUCUACCGCCUCCCCAUACUCGACGCACUCGAUGUCGCAUUCGUAAGCGUGCUCGAAGGAGGAGCUGAUAGUGAUGACGCCUUUGGGACCGGGCAUCUUCAGCUUCAAGUAGGUGUAGUUGGGUAUAGCCAUGAACUUUGCGUAGCCCGGGCGCCCGAUGAUGGCGUGGUACGUGCCCCGGAACCCGACCACCUCAAAGGUGAGGGUCUCCUUCCUGAAGUUGGCCGCCGUGCCAAAGCAGACCGGUAAGUCGAUUCGACCUACUGGCAGCGCCUUUUUCCCUGGCACAACGCCGUGGAAACCACCGGCGCUUGGUUGAAGCCGUCCCCUGUCGAUGCCAAGGAGGUCGAGGGUCUCGAGGUAGAUGAUGUUGAGGCUGCUGCCUCCGUCCAUUAGCACCUUCGAGAGCCUGGUAUUGACGAUGAUGGGGUCGACGACGAGCGGGUAGACGCCUGGGGCAACCACCUUGUCGGGGUGAUCCUCUCGGUCGAAGGUGAUGGGUGUGCUCGACCAGCUGAGGUACUGGGGCACCGCCAUUCUUGCCGCGAAGACCUCACGACGUUCCCUCUUGCGCUGCCUUGCAGUCAACUGCGUCGAGGGCCCACCAUAGAUCAUGUAGCAGUCGUGGACGACAGGGAAACCAUCGUCGUCCUUGUUGCCCUCCUUGUCACCACCCUUCUCCUUCUUGGGGUCGUCGUGCGCGUCCUUUCUGAACCCUAGGCCGUCGAAAUGCUUUUUCAGCAUACGACAGUCCUUGAGCUUGUGGUUGGCUCCUCCUUUGUGGUAAGGGCAUGGUUCCUCUAGCAUCUUAUCGAAGAUACCUCCAUAUAGGGGGGCCUUGAGGCUUCUUCCGCUCCAUGGCGGCGAUGAGGUCGUCGUCGAAGUUCUCCUGCUUGAACUGCCGCACCUUCUACUUCUUCUUGUUCUUCUUGAGCCCUCGACUAGGGGUCUCGUCUUCAUCGGCGGGCUGCUUGCCUUUCCUUCCUUCACAACUGAAGAAGGCACCGACUGCUUCCUCCCCUGCUGCGUAGUUUGCCACUACGUCCAUGAUCUCAUCGACGGUCUGAGGUCGGUUCCGACCCAAUUCCCGCACCAAGUCUCGACUGGUGGUACCAGAGACAAAUGCCAGGAUGACGUCGUGGUCGGGGAUAUGUGGCAGCUCGGUGUGCUGUUUUGAGAAGUGUCGAGCAUACUCUCAAAGAGUUUCUCACGACUUCUGCUUGCACUUGCUGAGGUCCCAUGAGUUCCUGGGCUGUAUGUAGGUCCCUUUGAAAUUACCCUCGAAGACACUAACCAAAUCGACCCAGUCGUGGAUCUGAUUUGCUGGGAGUUCCUCGAGCCACCGAUGGGCACUGUCGGAGAGGAAGAGUGGUAGCUGUCUGAUGAUGGCUCGAUCAUCUCCUCGAGCGCCUCCUAGCUGACAGGCCAGCCUAAAAUCGGCCAGCCACAACUCUGGUUUGGUCUCGCCAUUGUAUUUCGCGAUGCUGGUUGGGGGUCGGAAUGGACUGGGCAGGGGCGUGCUGCGGAUUGCCCUGCUGAACACCCGUGGGCCUGGUGGCUCGGGGGCCAUCCGGUCCUCGUCGCUGUCAUACCUCCCACCGCGGUGUGCGCUGUAACCGCGCUCUUCCGCAUCCCCAUACCGACGGCGUCGAUUCUCUUCGAUGUCAUGCCGCACGUCGUGUCGACGUUGAUUGUCGACAGGGAGGACGAGAGUGGCCUUUCUUCCUCGAGGGGGAGGCUGUUGAUGGACUGACACCUCCUUUUCGUUUUGGGGCGGCUCAUCGCGCUUUUCAGUGGCGGCUCCUCGUCGUCGAGAAGCCCAGCUUUCGGCUUGUUGAACCGCCGCUACCUGGAGCAGAGUCUGCACCUCGUCUCGAAUGCGUCGAGCUUGGGAAUUUGAUGGCUCUGGCAUGUUGCAUAGCAGCAUUGUUGCUGCCACUACGUUCUGGCCUGCUCGAGAGAAGCGGCUGACGGGUUGCUCUGGCUCCACGUCUCCGACGAUUUGCCGGUGUACCUCUCGAGCUCGCCUACAGACACUUCCGCCGGGCGGGUAAGGCAAGUCUUGUUCGAGGAUUUGCUCAAGCAGGACGAGGUGCUCACGGUCUUCGUCGAGCUUUGUCUUGAGCUCUCAUAGUUGCGCAAGCUGCACAGCCCUGUCUUCCUAUGGAAGUGGAUCGACCUAUCCGCCGUUCCCAGGCGUCCUGGGGUCUUCCCUUGCUGCGGGGGCUCGACCGCCCGCAGCUGCGUCCUGCGUCUCGUCGGUAGUUAUCUCGUCAGUAGUAAAAUAUAAUCAUCAAAUAAACAAAGAAAAGGAUCUAAAUGAAAUCAACAUCCAGACUUAGGGUUUUAUCUGACAGAAUUCCACGAGUUUUGGUGUUUGUCUAUUUCUACAGGGGGUUAUCAGGAAAUACGGAAGAAAGGCCCACACAUCGGGAUUACAUAGAGAUAUUAACGUGCCGCGCAAUUAUCUUACAUCUAGAAGACUCCAGAAGCCACGAGAACGAAGCGGAGGCGAAACGGCGCCUGGCCCUGGGCGCCCGCCCAGGAGACCAGGGCACCCGCCCCCUGUUGGAGUCCAAUCAGGACACCCUUUUGGGAUUACGCUCCACCGACCUAAAGGAUCAAGGAUAACCGUUCAAUCAAUAUCGGUUUGAUCCAACGGCCCAUAUUCACUCGAAGGGACUAUAAAACCAGAACCCGUGGCCCCUGGAGGAGAGAGCCUCUCAACCCUAAUUCAUUAUUCCUCAAGGGAGAAGAAGCCUCUGAUCAAGCCUAGAGCCACCACAUCAAUUAGACAUCUAGAUUAGCAUAGCUACAUAGGAUUAGAACUAGAAGGAGUCAAUCUUCGAUUGGUUUCCGGAUCUGUCAAGAGGAUUCUUGGUAAUUCUCUAAUUGUUCUUCUAAUUGUUCAUCAUUGUUCUUCAAUAUUAUGAAUAUGACUUUGCUCUACUUCAAUAUAUUGCUUAUGACUUUGCUCUACUUGUUUAUAUUCAAGAUUAUAUUGUUCUUAGUUUAUCAUAGUUAUAUACUUGGCUUAGUUAGAUUGGAUCUAUAUACAUGUUUAGGAUCGUAUAGCAUUUAUCUAUUGGAUCCAUGGGUAAAUGAUAGAUAUUGUGUAGGCGUGGUGCUUAUACCGUAUUUAUCUGCGAUUGUACCCAAUAUGCCAGAUCAUGGGGUAGUUCGUGAUAGUGACAGUUUCAUUGAUUCUUAUAUAGUCCCCCUCUCGUGUAUUGGGCUGGCAGAGCAACAUUAUUAUAGGGGAGUGAUUAUGAUGUUUCACAUAUUCCUUGCUAUAUCACUAUGCAUGGGCGUAGUCCUGUCUCGCAAUGAUUGCUAAGUAUACUUGCACUAACUAUGAUAAUGCUAGACUGUAUAGUUAAGAAUAACUUAGGAAAUAUUCUGUGGCUAAGUUAUGCUAAUCAGAUUAAUUAUCUUUGUCACUAUUCAUUACUUUAUAUAUCCUUUAUGUGACACUUAUCCCUGUAUGAAAGAGUUAGAUAAAUGUUCUCAAUUAUACAUGCAAUGAUAGAUGCUCAAUCUUAUAUUCCAUUCUAUAAUCAACAUUGAUGGUUACUAAUCCCUUCCCAGUGGGAAAAAUAUAAAUAACGAUACCUGGAAUACUUCCCGGUUAAAAUGCUACAUCGGUAUUUAUUUAGAUGAGCAAUUGCAUAUUUCAAUACCGCGUCUCUUAUGUCAUGCUGGGGAUGACAACUUGGCUUAAGUGGCAUGGGAGAUAGUUUUGGCAUUUUUGGCGCCGUUAUCAGAAUGAGAAAACUAAGUCUACUUUUGGUAAUGAUGUUAAGAAUACCCAGCAAUAUCCUGAAGGAAGGGAACCUCUACUACUAGAGAACAAACCUUUCAUCGAUGUGCCAAAUGAGCUUUAGUCCUAGCAUUUUUGGCGCCCGGGACAAAAGAGAUCUUUAGUCCCGGUUGGUAACGCCAACCGGGACUAACGAUCCCUCCCCAACGGCUCCGGUGUCAGGCGCUGUCGGGGAGGGACCUUUAGCCCCAGUGGAUGUUACCAACUGGGACUAAACACCUACCUUUAGCCUCGGUUUGUUCCACUAACUGGGACUAAACCUUUUGUCCCGGUCGUUGGCACCAACCGGGGCUAAAGGUAGGUGUUUAGUCCCGGUUGGUAACACCAACCAGGACUAAACCCUCCCCGCUAUAAAUUGAAUCUCCCUCCUCCCUUCUUGCACUCCCUGCCCGAGCCCGUGGUCCUUUAUUCUUGCUUGUUCUUCCAUUGUUCUUGCUUGUUAUUGCUCUCAUCUUCCGCGAUCGAUCCAUUUCAACGCUUCUACGCCGUUGUCGAUUUGUUUGAAAGGUUGCUAGCUUCAUCCUCCUAUGUUUCUCACCGCCAUAUGUAAUUUCAUGUUGGACAUAUGGCUAUUUUAAUUAUUUCAUGUUGCUAUCUCUCCAAUCAUCAUCUUCUCAUGUUUGAAUUUUUUUGAACGAUGCUAAGUGUGUGCCCGCUAGAAACUAGUGUACACAAAUCAUUACUACUAUGUAUACACAAAUCAUGUUUAGUUCUAUUAUAGAUAUUAUAGGAUAUUUUUACUUUAAUAUGGUCAUGUUCUUAUUUUAAAAUAUAUUUGUUGGACCAAACAUGGAGAGACUGGGUUAUGAUGGAAGAAGGUGAAGAAGAGCAAGCGUACCCUGACGAUGUUUUUGCUCAAUACUGCGACUUCGCGGUAUAGGACAAAGGUGAAGAAGACGGGGAUGCAGGAAACAGUAUCAUUGAUGAUGACGAUGCUCUUGGUGAUGUCAUUCACGACGUACAGAGAAAUUGCAAAAGUGCAAAGGAGAAGGCUAAAUUUGACCAAAUGCUAGAGGAUCACAAGAAGCUACUCUACCCAUCGGCCGAAGAGGGACAAAAAAAGCUAGGCACGACACUAGAGUUGUUACCAUGGAAGGCAGAGAAUGGUAUUUCUGACAAUGCAUUUGGAAAAUUACUCAAGAUCCAAAAAAAGAUGCUUCCGAAGCCUAAUGAGUUACCCACCACUACAUACGAAGCAAAAAAGAUCGUCUGUCCUUUGGGGUUACAAAUCAAAAAGAUACAUGUAUGCCCUAAUGACUACAUCCUAUACCGUGGCGAGCACGAGAAAUUAGAUGACUACCCUGUUUGCCAUGCGUCACAGUACAAGAUCUUGCGGGAUGACCCUGGCGAUGUUGAGGAUGAAGAACGUCCGAGGAAGAGAAUCCCUGCCAAGGUUAUGUGGUAUGCUCCAAUAGUUCCAUGCCUAAACAUUUGUUCAGAAAUAAGGAGCAUGCAAAGUUGUUGCGAUGGCACAAACAAGACCGUAAGGUGGACAACAUGUUGAGACACCCUGCAGAUGGUUCUCAGUGGAGAGGAAUCGAUAGUGAAUUCCAAGACUUUGCGGAGGACGCAAGAAACCUAAGGUUCGCAUUGAGUACGGAUGGAUUUAAUCCUUUUGGGGACCAGAGCUCUAGUCAUAGCACCUGGCCCGUUACUCUAUGUAUCUACAACCUUCCUCCGUGGUUAUGCAUGAAGCAGAAGUUCAUUAUGAUGCCGGUGCUCAUCCAAGGUCCGAAGCAACAUGGCAACGACAUCGAUGUUUACCUGAGGCCAUUGGUUGAGGAACUCCAGCUUCUAUGGAGCAAACCAGGUGUGCGUAUGUGGGAUGAGUACAAACAGGAAGCAUUCGACCUACGAGCAUUAUUGUUCAUGACAAUCAAUGAUUGGCUAGCUCUAAUCAAUCUUUCAGGAUAGACAAACAAGGGAUAUAAUGCUUGCUCCCAUUGCUUUGGUGACGUUCAAGCUAUCUAUGUGAAAAAAUGUCGAAAGGUUGUGUAUCCUGGCCAUCGUUGAUUUCUUGCUAAGAACCACCAGUUGAGAAAGAAAGGCGAACAUUUUAAAGGUAUGAGAGAACACUGGUCCAAGCCAUGCAACUGAGAUGGGGUAGAGGUAUUCGAGAUGGUCAAAGAUUUGAAUGUACUAUUUGGAAAGGGAGAAGGCAGCAAACCUGUUCCGAAAGACACUUCGGGGCGUGCCCCAAUGUGGAAGAAAUAGUCAAUAUUUUGGGAGCUACCAUAUUGGAAACACCUUGAGGUCCGCCACUCCAUCGACAUGAUGCACCUGACAAAGAAUCUUUGUGUCAAUCUCCUAGGGUUUAUGGGUGUGUUUGGAAAGCCUAAGGAUACCCUUGAGGCUCGAGAGGACUUAAAGCGCAUGAAAGAACGAGACAACCUGCAUGCAAAGCAGACAGAUGAUGGACGCCAGUAUUUUAAGACCUGCUAGCUACACUCUUAGCAAUGAGGAGAAGGAAAUCAUGUUUGAGUGCCUAAGCAGCAUCAAGGUCCCAUCUGGGUUCUCCUCCAACAUAAAGCUUAUAAUAAAUGUGCCAGAGAAAAAAUUUGUCAACUUAAAAUCGCACGACUGCCACGUGAUUAUGACACAACUGCUUCUGGUUGCCUUAAGAGGAAUUCUACCUCCACAUGUACGUCUGGCCACCGUGAAGUAGUGUGCAUUCCUCAAUGCAAUUUCUCAGAAGGCAAUAAAUCCUCUUGAUCUAGCUACUCUACAGAACGAUGUAGUUCAAUGUCUUGUCAGCUUUGAGUUGGUGUUUCCUCCAUCUAUCUUUGAUAUCAUGACACAUCUCCUAGUUCACCUGGUCAAAGAUAUUAAUAUCCUGGGUCCUAUCUUCCUACACAACAUGUUUCCCUUAGAGAGAUUUAUGGGUGUACUGAAAAAAUAUGUUCACCAGCGGGGUCGGCCAGAAGGAAGCAUCAUCAAGGGAUAUGGGAUAGAGGAGGUCAUUGAGUUCUGUGUGGACUUCAUUCCUGAUCUUGACCCGAUUGGUCUUCCUGAAUCAAGGUAUGAGGGGAGACUCGGUGGAAAAGGGUACACUAGGAAAGAAAACAUAUAUCAGCCAGAGUGAUGAUUUAUUCCAUAAAGUGCACUACACAGUCCUUCGAAACUCCAUUGUGGUGGAACCCUAUAUUGAGGAACAUAUGGAUUUUGUAUGAUCCGAGAAUCCUAGAAAGAAUGAGACUUGGGUUAUGCGUUAUCACAUGGAAACAUUCGGUGACUGGUUGUGAAAAAAAUGCCAAGGUGAUAAAGAUAUUGUAGAUGAACUUUAUUUGUUGGCUAGGCAACCAGCGUGGCACGUCAUCACGUACAAAGGAUACGAGAUAAAUGGAAAUACAUUUUACACCGUAACACAAGAUAAAAAGAGUACAAACCAAAACAGUGGUGUCCGUGUGGAUGCCACUGACAUGAAUGGGGACAGGCACACAUAUUAUGUUCGUAUAGAGGAGAUUUGGGAACUAGACUAUGCACAUAAUUUUAAAGUCCCUUUAUUCCGAUGCCAAUGGGUGAAGAUGAAAUGAGGGGUAUUGAUCGAUAAGGAGUACGGAAUGACAACAGUGGACCUCAACAAUAUUGGAUAUACAAACGAUCCAUUCGUCCUUGGUACUAAGGUGAAUCAAGUGUUCUAUGUGAAAGACAUGUCUACAAAACCCAAGAGAGGGAAACAAGAUGAGAAAAACACAAACGAGCCAAAGCGCCACAUCGUUCUUACAGGGAAAAGAAACAUCGUGGGAAUUGAAGACAAGUUAGACGUGUCAGAGGAUUAUGAAAAGGAUGAACGGAUCCCACCCUUCUGUGUGGGCAAAGACCCAAGCAUCAUGCUCGCUGUAGAGGACACUCCAUGGUUACAGAAUAUUCAUAACCAAGGGCAUUACGUUAAGAAAAAUUUUACCAUUGUGCUAGCUUGAUAAUGGUAGUGAUUUGUACUUGACAUCUUGUGUAAUAUAAUUGUAACAUUAUGUGUAAUAUAAUUCUAACAUCUUGAUAAUGUGGAUUUUGAACUACACUUUGCCAGCACUUUGUGAAAUGCAAAAAUGGUCUAUAUAUGAAAUGUAGAUCUUGAUGAGUGGAGCAAUAUUGGUAUUCAUGAGUUUUCCAUUUGAGGCCAUCCGUGGUUCCAAAAAUUAGCGUUUUGCUAUGAAUUCUUUCAAAUUUCCAAAUUGAGUGGUCCAACUUUUUCAAAUGAAAAUGUGACCAUUAGAGAAAAUGUAGACCCUGAUGAGUGGAACAAACUUUGUAUUCAUGAGUUUUCCAUUUGAGGCCAUCUAUGGCUCGGUCAAAGUGUGUGUUUGUGAAACCCACUGUUUUGACUUUGGUCAAACUUGGUCAAAUGACCCAUCUGAGGACUUCAAAUGGAAAACUAUUGGAUACCAAGUUGUUAGAGCUCAUCAACACCUACAUUUCAUACAUGGACCAUAUUUUCAUCCGGAUAAAUUUGAUCGAGUCCCAGUCACAUGUUUUCAAAUUCGAAGACGGGCUUUGGUCAAACUAGGUCAAACGAUGGAGAAAAUGACUUGGAAUGAAAAUCUUUUGAAUACCAAGUUGUUAGAGCUCAUCAAUAUCCAAACUUUUUAUAUAGACCAUUUUUCUAUUUGGAAAAGUUUAUGUAAACAAUACUCACCAAAACUUGAAUCUCACACAAACUAUAUGAAACUAUACGUGGGAAGUGUGGAUUUUGAACUACACUUUGCCAACACUUUGUUAAUGCAAAAAUGGUCUAUAUAUGAAAUGUAGAUCUUGAUGAGUGGAGCAAUAUUGGUAUUCAUGAGUUUUCCAUUUGAGGCCAUCCAUGGUUCCAAAAAUUAGCGUUUCGCUAUGAAUUCUUUCAAAUUUCCAAAUUGAGUGGUCCAACUUUUUCAAAUGAAAAUGUGACCAUUAGAGAAAAUGUAGACCCUAAUGAGUGGAACAAACUUUGUAUUCAUGAGUUUUCCAUUUGAGGCCAUCUAGGGCUCGGUCAAAGUGUGUGUUUGUGAAACCCACUAUUUUGACUUUGGUCAAACUUGGUCAAAUGACCCAUCUGAGUACUUCAAAUGGAAAACUUUUGAAUACCAAGUUGUUAGAGCUCAUCAAGACCUACAUUUCAUACACGGAUCAUAUUUUCAUCUGGAUAAAUUUGAUCGAGUCCCAUGCACAUGUUUUCAAAUUCAAAGACGGGCUUUGGUCAAACUUGGUCAAACGAUGGAGAAAAUGACUGCGAAUGAAAAUAUUUUGAAUACCAAGUUGUUAGAGCUCAUCAAUAUGCAAACUUUUUAUAUAGACCAUUUUUUCAUUUGGAAAAGUUUAUGUAAACAAUACUCACCAAAUCUUGAAUCUCACACAAACUAUAUGAAACUAUACGUGAGAAGUGCGGAUUUUGAACUACACUUUGCCAGCACUUUGUCAAAUGUAAAAAUGGUCUAUAUAUGAAAUGUAGAUCUUGAUGAGGGGAGCAAUAUUGGUAUUCAUGAGUUUUCCAUUUCAGGCCAUCCAUGGUUCCGAAAAUUAGUGCUUCGCUAUGAAUUCUUUCAAAUUUCAAAAUUGGGUGGCCCAAACUUUUUCAAAUGAAAUUGUGACCAUUAGAGAAAAUGUAGACCUUGAUGAGUGGAACAAACUUUGUAUUCAUGAGUUUUCCAUUUGAGGCCAUCCAGGCCUCGGUAAAAGUGUGUGUUUGUGAAAUCCACUAUUUUGACUUUGGUCAAACUUGGUCAAAUGACCCAUCUGAGGACUUCAAAUGGAAAACUAUUGAAUACCAAGUUGUUAGAGCUCAUCAACACCUACAUUUCAUACAUGGACCAUAUUUUCAUCCGGAUAAAUUUGAUCGAGUCCCAGUCACAUGUUUUCAAAUUCGAAGACGGGCUUUGGUCAAACUAGGUCAAACGAUGGAGAAAAUGACUUGGAAUGAAAAUCUUUUGAAUACCAAGUUGUUAGAGCUCAUCAAUAUCCAAACUUUUUAUAUAGACCAUUUUUAUAUUUGGAAAAGUUUAUGUAAACAAUACUCACCAAAACUUGAAUCUCACACAAACUAUAUGAAACUAUACGUGGGAAGUGUGGAUUUUGAACUACACUUUGCCAGCACUUUGUUAAUGCAAAAAUGGUCUAUAUAUGAAAUGUAGAUCUUGAUGAGUGGAGCAAUAUUGGUACUCAUGAGUUUUCCAUUUGAGGCCAUCCAUGGUUCCAAAAAUUAGCGUUUCGCUAUGAAUUCUUUCAAAUUUCCAAAUUGAGUGGUCCAACUUUUUCAAAUGAAAAUGUGACCAUUAGAGAAAAUAUAGACCCUAAUGAGUGGAACAAACUUUGUAUUCAUGAGUUUUCCAUUUGAGGCCAUCUAGGGCUCGGUCAAAGUGUGUGUUUGUGAAACCCACUGUUUUGACUUUGGUCAAACUUGGUCAAAUGACCCAUCUGAGUACUUCAAAUGGAAAACUUUUGAAUACCAAGUUGUUAGAGCUCAUCAAGACCUACAUUUCAUACACGGAUCAUAUUUUCAUCUGGAUAAAUUUGAUCGAGUCCCAUGCACAUGUUUUCAAAUUCAAAGACGGGCUUUGGUCAAACUUGGUCAAACGAUGGAGAAAAUGACUGGGAAUGAAAAUAUUUUGAAUACCAAGUUGUUAGAGCUCAUCAAUAUCCAAACUUUUUAUAUAGACCAUUUUUCCAUUUGGAAAAGUUUAUGUAAACAAUACUCACCAAAUCUUGAAUCUCACACAAACUAUAUGAAACUAUACGUGAGAAGUGUGGAUUUCGAACGACACUUUGCCAGCACUUUGUCAAAUGCAAAAAUGGUCUAUAUAUGAAAUGUAGAUCUUAAUGAGUGGAGCAAUAUUGGUAUUCAUGAGUUUUCCAUUUGAGGCCAUCCAUGGUUCCGAAAAUUAGCGUUACGCUAUGAACUCUUUCAAAUUUCAAAAUUGAGUGGUCUAAUCUUUUUCAAAUGAAAAUGUGACCAUUAGAGAAAAUAUAGGUCUUGAUGAGUGCAACAAACUUUGUAUUCAUGAGUUUUCUAUUUGAGGCCAUCCAGGGUUCCAAAAUCUAUCUUACAGCUUUUGAAAAUUUAAAUUUCAAAUUUAUACAAUAAAUGUCGCGCAUUUGUAUAAAUAUUAUUAAAGAAAUAAAAGUUUAACGUCUAAAUGACCCAAAAACCAAGUAUGAAAUAAAAGCCAAUAAUUUUUUAAAAUUUAAUUGCCAUUAUAUUUUUGCAUUAACACAAUAUUCAUUAUAAAUAACAUUAUUUUUGAAUAAUAUGAAAUAUUUGAAAAUCAAUUCUGUUUAGAAUUUUUAUACUGAAGAGUAGAGCAGAAUAAAAUUAAUAUGUAUUUUUUCAACAAUUUUAUUAGAUUUAUUUAAUUUAUAAUGCAUUUAACAAUGUAAAAGGGAAAAAAGGAAAAACUAAAUUAUGGCGCCUAAACUGGCGCCAUAAUUUGGUGAAAACUCUUUGUCUCGGGCCGAGCUAGCGCCCGGGACUAAAGGGUCUUUAAUCUCGGUUCCAGCGAGGAACCGGGACUAAGCUCGGCCCGGGACUAAAGGUGCCCUGCCAUAUAAAGGGCAGAGCCCUUCUUCCUCCUGCCCACCGCGCCCGCGUCGAUCUUACCGUAACCGCCGCCGACCCGUCGUCUUCUCUGCCGCCGCUCCGUCGAUCUCGUCCUUGCCGCCGUCGUCCUUGCUCCGAGCGCCGCACCGAGGACGCCUCGCCGUACGCCGCGCGCCCACCGCCUCUACUCCCUCUCUCUUUCUCUCUUUCUCGUUCUCGCGCGCGCCGCCGCCACCUCGAUCGGGAACCCGCGAGCUCACCAACCGCCGCCACGCGCGGCUGCGCCCUUCGCGCCCGACAACGGCAGCCGGCGGGGGGCAGUGGCGCGGGCCCCAUGCCGUACGCCGUCGGCCGCGCGGCCACAUGCACCCACACCGGCGGCGUCGCCCGAGCCCCCCGCGCCGCUAAGACAGAGAUCGAGAAAGAAAAAAAAUGAAAAAAAUGAAAAAAAAUAUGAAAUAACAAAGAAAUAACUUUAACUAAAUAUAUAGUAAAAAAUAUUGAUAUUUAUAAUACAUAGUUAGGCCUUGUUUAGUUCUAAAAAAUUUUAGGAAAUCGACACUGUAGCAUUUUUGUUUGUAUUUGACAAAUAUUGUCCAAUCAUUGACUAACUAGGCUCAUGCAUACGUAUCGUUCUAAAAAAGUUUCGUAUCGUUAAUUCCGACCAAACUGUGCAAUUAGUUUUUAUUUUCGUCUAUAUUUCAUACUCCAUGCAUGCAUACGUUUAAAGAUUUGAUGUGACGGAGAAUCUGAAAAAUUUUGCAAAAUUUUAUGGGAACUAUGCCUUAGUAUCAUUGAAAAGAUCUUUCGGUCUAGUUUUUUAACAAAUUUAUUUAGAGACUUGGUUUUUGUUUUCUUCUAUAUUUAGUGCUUCAUGCAUGUGCCAGAAUAUGUAAAUGUGAUAUAAUAUUCGUUCCCUCUUUCUUCCUUCUUCCAGAUCGACGUCUCUCUGUCGUCGUCACCGAAGUCCCCGUCGAGUCUCCGCGCCGACUGCCAUCUCUCCGCCGUCUCACCAUUUCAAACUACACGUAUGUCUAGAGAUGGAUCUAUUAGUGGUACAAUUAGUGCUAUAAUUAGUGGUACAAUUAGUGGUAUAAAUUAGUGGUAUAGUUAUGAUAUAUUUAAUUGUUAGCAAAUGAUAUACACUAAACCCUAAACCUAAGCCCUAAGCCCUAAACCCUAAACCCUAAACCCUAAGGAGUAUGUGCCACCCUCAGAAGGUACGAGGACUUGGUACGCAAAUAUACAAGUUGCACGAGUACUACUUGAGAGUCAGCUCAAAACAUAAGGAAGAAGAAUUGAUUGCCGUCCGAGUCUGCGACCGACACUACUUCGGUGGAGAUGACGUCAUACGGAUAGAUUUUAGUGAAGUACACCAGCUUCUCCAUAUGAAUGCUCUCAACAAAUCUCUCAUGAGCUGCUACUGUCUGUAAGUGAUUCUUCCUUUUAAUUAUUAAUCCCAUUAUAGCAUAUGUAUGUAUUCAUAAUAACUACGAUCACGAUGUGUAGACACAUGAUGAGAGAACAAAGAUUGAAAAAAGACAAUCGAAUUGGUUUCAUCGAUCCAUAUGUCGUGUACAAGGACACCAAGACUAAAGAUCCAUUGAAUCUGAAGCCUAAGGAAAUAGGGAAGAACCUCCGGAGGUUCUUUUAUAAUCAAAGCCAUACAGAGAAGAUACUCUUCCUUUACAAUAUGGGGUAAGUGUUGUGUUAUAUCAUGUCUUAGUUAGUCCGGCAUUAAGAUAUAUUUAUAUAUAAGUUGACACUAAACAAAUGCAGAGAUUAUUGGAUACUCAUUGAGAUUAAGAUCAUGGAACAAAAAAUAAAUGUGUGGGACUCAAUGAAAAAGACCUGGCACUCUAUCAAGGCAUAAUAGACAUUGUUGACGGUCCUUAAUGCUCACAUUUAACUGUCAACUAAUCAUGGAAAAGGACCUAUAUGCAACCAACACCUAAAAUUAGGGUUUCAUCUCACAGAAUUCCACGAGUUUUGGUGUUUGUCUAUUUCUGCAGGGGGUUAUCAGGAAAUAUGGAGGAAAGGCCCACAUGUCGGUUGUAACACCCUAGGUGUUAAACAUGCACUUAGUCUCAUCAACUUAUACAUAAGCAUUCUCAUCAAGCAUAGCAUCACAUGAGCAUGUCAUUCAUUCAAAGUGUGAUUUUAUGUGCUUUAUUUUAUGUGAAUUAAAUGUGGUAAAAAUAUUAUGCUUGCUUCUAAAUUCUUGAAUUGCCCAAAUUAGGUUAAAAUAUGUGUUAAAAGAUUUAAGAGUAAUUUUGUGAUAUUUUUGGAGCUAUAGAAAUUAAGAAAUUGAUUUUAUACAAAAAUUCCCAAAAUAGAUUUAUUUGAAAACCUAUAAAUAGUUUUGAGUUGUAUUUCAAAAUCUAUUUGGAAUUUGUGAAUUCAACCUAAAGAAAAGUUGUAGGGUUUUUGAUUUAGAACAACUUUUGUUUUGGAAGAAAAAGGUGAAAAUGAUUUUAAAAUAGUCCAAAUGAAUUUAGAAAGAGUUUGAGAAAAGAAAUUCUAAAAAAAUGGAAAAGGGAAAGGGGGGCGCUAGCAGGCUGCGGCCUCACUUCUGGCCCGCUAGCCGAAGCCGGCCCAGCCCGCCCGCGCCGUGCCGCCGUGGCACGCCGGUAGAGCUCGGCCGCCGCGUGGCGAGCAUGCGGCAGCCUGGAUGCGCCCCGGUCGGCCACCAGGAGCGCCCGACCGCCUCCGUCUCUGCCUCCGCUACCAUUUGCGAUCCUCUACUCGCGCUCUUGCCUUUCGCUCGCCCGCGCGCCGCAGCUGCCGCUCCGCCGCGCGCCAUCGUCGCCGACGACUUGGAGCUUCUCUCUCAGCCAGCUCCGGCCUCAUCCUUCCUCUCCGCGACCGCCAACAGCUCCGCCUCGUCAUUCCGCGUCGCGUGCUCGCGCUCAACCGCACUCGGUGAGUCCCCGCGCGCCCGGGAGAGCUCACCAGAGUGAGUCGGGACUCCGGUGACCUUUCGUUCCGCGUUGUUCUCCCCCUCUACUCCGCCAUUUCUUGCGCUUUUAGGUGUGUUAGCUUCGCCUCGGCCUCGCGAACCGAUUCCGGCCGUUCGAGCACGCUCUACCGCCGCGUGGUGGCCGGACCGCGGCGAGCAGUGCCGCCGUUCCACCAUGGCCGGUGGCGAGCUUGCUCCCAUCCGUUGCCGCGGAAGUAGGUUCGCUGAGUUCGCCUUGAGCCGUAGAACGCGUAGAGCCACUUGGUUCGCCGAGAGAGGCCGCCGACGGUGAGCUCCGCCUCGCCGGAGUCGCCCUCUCUCUGUGUUCUGGCCAGCGGGCCCGGCUAUCAGGCGGGUCCGUCUCGUCAGUGGCCGCGGGUGCACUGCACCGGGUGCACCUAGCUGGUCCCGGGGGUGGAUUUGAAUUGAUUUUCAGAAAAUGCUUUCCGGAAAAUAGUUUAAAUGAUAUAAAAUCCAUAUCUUGAGAUAUAUAGCUCCAAAAAUGAUGAAAUAAAUUGUGGAGUGUUCUAUAAUUCUAGAUCUACAGUUUAGUAUAGUUGCAUGUCUUGUUUAAACAACUUUUCUGUGCAAAUAUAUUUAAUCCAUGUUUUUGCUGAGAAUUGGAAAAUGCAUAGUAAUUAAAAUAUAGUUCAGAAAAAUAUGAAACUUGUUUUGUUGGCUCUGCAUGGAUGAUUAGGCUCUGGGAAAAUUAUGUUACACAUUAUUUGCUGUAUGAAUUAAUUUAUUGUGAUUUAAAUGCUUGCAUGGCAAUGGUUUAUGAUUUUUAAUAAAUAAUUGGAUCAUGCAAUUAAACUACAAAUUUUUGUGGGUAUUUCUUAUGUUAUUAAGUAAAUUAUAAAAAUAUGAAAUCUGCUAUUUGACACUUAUACCACAGUAGGGUAUUUAUACAUGAUUAUAUGGAUUAAUCUUGUGAUUUUUGUAGCCCAAAAUAAAUGUCCAAAUAUUAUGAAAAACUUAUGGUAGACUUUAUGGUUGACUAGUAGUCUACUCUAAUUUUUGUGGAAUUUUUUGUUAAACAGAGAUAUAUGUUACUUUGUAGGUCCAAGAGUGAUUAAAUAAAAUAAGAGUGGUUAUGCAUGAAUUAAAUAGAAUAAAAGAUUGUUUGGUGUAUCUUUGAAGCAUCUUGUGAGCUUGCUGGUUAACCAUGAAGACAACUUGUAGAAGAGAAUGCAAUAUAUGCUUAGUUCGAUUGUUUAUUCUUGGGUGAUGUUGACUACCUCGUAAAAGUGACCACUUAUAUCAUCUAUACACCAUGUCAUAGUCAUCUGUUACCCACUUGCAUAAGCAUUGUAUCUCGGGCAUCUCGCACUCCACUCAUGAGCACACAUGCAUCAUACAGGCUCGCAGGAGAACGAGGUGGGACCCGAGGAGCAAGAGGAGACCCUGGAGCAGGAACCUCUGGGAGGACUAGAGACCGGAGAGGAGCUGUAGGAGUGCCCGGACCACAGACCGAGCACGUUUGAGAAAGGCAAGCCCCCGAGCAUUCUAAGUCUCCCUAUUCUCGCUAACUUAAAUGAGAUAUUAUGUUUGUUCUACUAUGUUGCAUUUAAGUGAUAGGAAUUGCUUGAUACCGUUGAUGCAUAAGUACUCCUUGAUAUCACCACUUGUUUAUCUACCUUGUCCUAUGUAGAUAGGCACAGAGUCCAUGCUUAGUUUGCUUAGUCCGGUAGAAGUUGGGUGAUUUCCUGUCACCUGCGAGAUAUAGGUGGACACCUGUUUGAUUAGCUGUGAUUGCUAUGAGGAUGAAUAACCAAGUGUGGAAAGGAAUUUGAGACCGGGCAGGGUCUUGUGGUGGGUUGAUCAUAGUGCCCCUGCCUGUGUCGAUUAAGGACCGAUCGUUGACGGCCCUCUUGUCAUGUUGAACGCAUGCCCCACACUUAGCUGGAAGGAUAAGUCGUUCCGACCGCGAAGCCUGAGCACUAUCUGGGCCGGGAAUCGGCCCGAUGUACGCGCUGUAUUGGUGAUGGUUGAGGAGAACGACGAGGGCGCAGCGCACAACCUUUGUAUACGUUGGAUACCUCGGCUGCCGGAACGGUCCUCGGGUACGGGCGGUGCCUGUCGAACCCGCGAAUUGGUCGUGGAUAAUGCAACACGGUGAUCUGUAGCUCACUUGAUCAGUGUGUGUGGUUUGUGUGGGGAAUAAACUCACCAGCUGGUCAGAAAUCGAUUCGAAUCGCCAUCACUCCUGGAUAGUGAGCACUUGACAUGAGCCCUGUCCUCGUAGUAAGGACUAUGGAACAUUUGGGUUAUGAUGAUAAAUGAUUUAUGAAUGCUAUGAUGAGGUACCAUCAUAUUACUACACUUGCUUGUAAUAGUACAGGUGCAAACCUAGAUAAUAGGUACGAUAUUAUCAAACUUGAGCUAAUGAAAAGAAGAAAGGUCUCUAGGCUAUGUUUUAGCGGAAUAAUGCUUUUAUGAAAAGAGUCUCAGCUUCCCCACCAUACAGCCUUCAUGAUCCUUGAAGAGUCUUGAUUUUUGGUUUAUGACGGGUAAGUCUAGCUGGGUACAUUCUCGUACUUAGGGUUCUAUUCCCGUGUUGUUUUGCAGAUGGUCAAAUGUAUUAUGGUUAUUGCAUCCUCUGCUUGUACCCAGCAAUGGGUGACGACUAGACCAAGGGCGAUGGUCACUCUCGCUUCUCUUUUGCUUUUGUGGGAAUAACCGAACUAUGGCACUGUAUCAAACUAAAUGUGUGUGUUUUAUUUUCAAACUAUGAAGCUUCCGCUACGUGAGAACUUGGUUUGUAAUAAUUUUAAGUACUCUGAUGUAUUUGAUGAAUGUUGUGAACUGGAUGUAAUUGUGAAUGGUGACCGCUGAACUUAUUACGAUCUUGGCUGUAUGUAUGAUUUGUGGUUUGAAAUCCUUCGAGAUUUCAUGGACUACCGGGAUUAUAUGGGCUUAAGCUCGGUGGUUUGACUGUGCAAAUGGUCACUAUCAAGCUUAAUCUCUUAUAAUUUGGGCGGUUCUGUUACAUCGGGUUUACACAGAGAUAUUAACGUGUGCGCCAAUUUUCUAUCAUCUAGAAGACUUCAGAAGCCAUGGGAACGAACGGGAGGCCGAGCGGGCCCGAGGGCUGGGUGCGCGCCCUCCCCCCUUCGGCAACUGCCCUGCCCUGGUGACCAAUCAGGGCAGGUCUCGCGGAUCGUGCUCCAUCGCCUUUGAGGAUCAAGGAAAACCGUGCGAUUAAGGUCGGUUUGAUCCGACGGCCCUCGUUCAUUUGGAAGGGCUAUAUAAGCAGGCCCCCUUGCCCCUGGAGAACAUAUCACUUCUACAGAAUCAAAGCUAGGGUUUCAAUUAUUCAUCCAAGUAGAGAGGAUCCCUCUAGUUCAUCUAGUUCUAGUUCAUAUAGUUCUAGUUAUAGUUAGUUCUAGGUUUAAUCUAGAAAAUAGGGAGAGGGAAGAGGAGAGCGGAGGAGGAGCCGGAUCUGUCGGAUCGUCCUCAACAUUGUACUUUUGCAGCAACUGGUUCGUUCUUCAUCGUUCUCCAAGUUCUUCAAUUCAUAAUUCCUGAGUUCUUCAAUUACUUUUAUUUACAUUCAAGUUAUUUUUUGGAUUCCCGCUUGCAUCAAGUGCUCUGUUCUUUAUAAUGCUAGAGUAGUAAUUAAUAGAUUAGACGUGGUGUUUAGUCUUGCAAUUACCUGGAAUUGCACCCAAUCCUGCGGAUUGUUGUGGUAGCCCUAGGGUAGUGACAGCCCUAACGGUCGACGUAUUCCACCUCGUUCGAAUCAGUGUUUGUAGGACCAUAGUCAGAGCUUCCUAGCCCCCUUCUCAUCUCUUUCUGUGGUCAGUGUUCUGAUGUCCCAAAAUAAAUAAUCUUUGAAGUAAUUCUUGAUUCUUAGAUCAACUAGAGAACUCUUAGGAAACUUCCUCUCUUCCCACCAAAAAUAAUUAUAUAGUUAUCCUUCGGAGAUCUUGAAUCUUAAUUAGUACACUCACGUUCCCUAUGGAAAAUCGAUACCCUAGAAUACUCCUGGGUGAAAGCUACAUCGAUAUCCGUGCGCUUGCGGAUUUUUCUGUUUGCGUUUAAAAUACCCAACAAGCUUUCUGGCGCCGUUGUCGGGGAACGAUAGUUGUGCUAGUUUCGAACCAAGUCAUCCGUGUAUCCUUUUUCUUUUCCUUUUUUUACCACACUCACCUUACAAUUUUCACCACACCACAUGGAUUUCACUCCUAUCUAUAAAUUAUUUGCUCCAAAGGGCGAGUUAUUAGAGCCACCACCAUCAUCACAUCCAAUUCUUACAGAUGGUUACGACCUCGGCCUUGAUCUAGUAGCGAUGAUUCAGGAGCAACCCGAAGUAGAUGAAUAUCCAUACACCCACGUUAGAGAAUUCGAGCAGUUGUGCUCUUGCCAAUCUAUUUCCGGCAUGACACAAGAAACCCUUAAAUGGAAAUUAUUUCCGUUCUCCCUUUUGGGUAGAGCAAAAAAGUGGUAUGCUCAUUUUGUAGGAGGCGUUAAUGGAAAUUUGGAUGAACUUCAGGACAACUUUUGUCUCACUUUCUUCCCACUUUUUCGAAACGCUGACCUUAGAAUCAAAAUUCUUACAUUCAAACAAAGAGAGAAGGAAACUUUAGGAGCAGCUUGGGCUAGGUUCACAAACCUUACCAAUUCUUGUCCAAACCUUUACCUGCCUGACCAUGUGCUAUACUACCAUUUUUAUCGUGGUCUAAACAAGGAAGCUGCUCUUCACCUCGACAUUGCUUCAGGAGGCUCAUUCUCACACAAACUCAUAGAUGAGGGGAGAGCUAUCCUAGAGAGAAUCCUUGAAAAUACACCUUACACAGGCAUUUAUGAUGAGUUUCCUGAAGAAGAAAAAGAAGUCGAGCCUAAUCCUAAACCAAAAGAAGAGGAACUUGCAACUGAGUUAGAAAUUCCACCUGACCCAUCUAUUAAUUUGGCUGUAGAGAAACCUCCUGAUAAGGGAAUGCAAAACCAACUAACGGAUAAUGAACCACCACCCUUAGAGCAUCCCUUUGAAUUCGAGGAAGAUCUUUUUGAAGAUUAUGGAAACACCUCAAAUUUUCCUAUCCAAACACGACCUCUAGCAGGGACCACUCAAUCCGUUCUAAGAGUAGAAUCUGUUGACAUAGAACACAUCAAAAGCCUUUCGGCUAUUCUGAGUUAUGAAUGGCUAACAGAAGUAGAGCUGUCACCUAAGGUAGCUCGGAUCAUCACUCCGUCAACAAUUCUUCUGUGCCAAAUUAGAGGGUCCGCUAGCAAGGUCCACUACAAUCCAUAUGUUGGGAUAAAUGUAAUUUCCAAGGAGUUAGCUGACACUCUUUAUCCCAACGAGUCCAUAACCCCAUCUCAAAAACUUUUACAAAGUCCAUCUAGAUUAAUUCUAGAAAGCUAUGGGGUAUUAAGGGCAGUUCCUAUUAGAAUCAAGGACUCUGGAAUAUGUCUAGAUUUUCACAUUUUUGACAUACGAGAGAUUCCUCUCUUGAUUGGCGGACCAAUCAUGAAACUUCUACAAGAACAACCACAACGAGGUCAUUUAGACUUCAAGGAUGGGAAUUCCACUAUUGUUGUUCCUCUUGCCAGAUCAAUUAACACGAUAGUGGAACCCAAACUUGAAUCAGAUCCUAUGGAGGAGAUCUUAAUGCUGACUCAAGAGGAGAUGGCCCAACCAUUCUUGAAUCAUGAACACUUUGUUCAAGAAGAAGAAGAGUUGGUAGAACCCAUUGAGCUAGACAAAAAUGAACAACCUUCACCUCCUUCGAUAGAGUUCUUCCUUCUGGCCUUAGAUAUGUCUUUUUGCACAACAACCCAAAAACUCCAGUAAUUAUCAGUGACAAGCUUUCCGAUUAUGAAACACAACAACUUGUCACUGUUCUUGAAAGGCAUAGAUCAGCAUUUGGCUACUCUCUCGAAGAUCUCACGAGCAUUAGUCCCAUUCUCUGCACUCAUCGUACCCCUAUUGAUCCUAAUUUUACACCUUCAAGGGAACCACAACGGAGACUUAACAAUGCUAUGCGAGAGGUUGUUAAGAAAGAGGUCCUCAAACUCUAUCGUGCUGGGAUUAUUUAUCAUGUGCCACAUAGUGAGUGGGUUAGCCCUGUCCAAGUAGUGCCAAAGAAAGGAGGAAUGACGGUGGUUUCGGAAUGAGAAGAAUGAACUCAUCCCUCAACGAAUUGUCACUGGGUGGCGUAUGUGUAUUGACUAUCGAAAGCUCAACAAGGCUACAAAGAAAUAUCACUUUCUGUUACCCUUCAUUGAUGAAAUGUUGGAACGGCUUGCAAACCACUCUUUUUUUGUUUCCUUGAAGGUUAUUCUGGAUAUCACCAAAUCCCAAUCCACCUAGAUGACCAAGAAAGGACUACCUUUACAUGCCCGUAUGGAACUUAUGCAUAACGACGAAUGUCGUUCGGAUUGUGUAAUGCUCCAGCUUCUUUCCAACGGUGCAUGAUGUCUAUUUUCAAGGACAUGAUUGAGAAGAUCAUGGAGGUUUUCAUGGAUAAUUUUUCCGUCUAUGGCAAAACCUUCGAUCAUUGUUUGGAGAAUUUAGAUAGAGUCUUGCAGCGAUGUGAAGAAAAGCACUUAAUCCUGAACUGGUAGAAAUGCCAUUUUAUGGUUUAGGAAGGAAUAGUGCUAGGACAUAAAGUGUCUGAACGUGGUGUAGAGGUGGACAAAGCAAAGAUUGAAGUUAUUGAAAAACUUCCACCUCCUACGAAUAUGAAAGGAAUACGUAGCUUUUUGGGACAUGCAGGGUUCUAUAGACGCUUUAUCAAGAACUUCUCUCAAAUUGCUAGACCCCUAACUAGUCUCCUAGCUAAGGAUGCACCUUUCAUCUUUAGUGAUGAGUGUCAUGAAUCUUUUCAAACUCUUAAGAAAGCACUCAUCUCAGCCCCAGUUAUCCAACCACCUGAUUGGAAUCUUCCUUUCGAGAUCAUGUGUGAUGCUAGUGAUUUUGAGGUUGGUGCCGUUUUAGGACAAACCAAGGAUAAAAAGCAUUAUGCCAUAUCCUACGCUAGCAAAACCUUGUCUGGACAACAGCUCAAUUACACUACAACUGAAAAAGAGCUUUUGGCUGUUGUCUUUGCUAUAGACAAGUUUAGAUCUUACUUAGUGGGGGCAAAGAUAAUCAUCUAUUCAGACCAUGCUGCUCUCAAGUACCUCCUCACUAAGAAAGAUGCUAAGCCUCGUCUAAUUCGAUGGAUUCUUCUACUCCAAGACUUUAACAUAGAAAUCCGAGAUAGGAAGGGAGUAGAGAAUUCCAUAGUCGAUCACUUGUCUAGGCUUCAAUAUAAGGAAACACAUGAUGAGCUUCCCAUAAAUGACUACCUAAGGGAUGACACCCUGCUUAAGAUAACACAUGCAGAUCCAUGGUACGCAGACAUCGUAAACUUUAUAGUAAAAGGCUAUGUCCCACCGGGUACAAACAAAAGGAAGUUACUUCAUGAUAGUCGUUUCUACCUUUGGGAUGAGCCAUAUCUUUUCCGAGUCUGCGCUGAUGGACUCUUGAGGAGGUGUGUUCCUAUGGCUGAGGCUACUCAAAUUAUGGAAAGAUGCCAUGCCUCGCCAUAUGGAGGACACAAUGGAGCAUUCCGGACACAUGCUAAAAUUUGGCAAAGUGGUUUUUUCUGGCCAACGAUGUAUGAAGAUAUUGGACUUUGUCAGGAGAUGCCACAGAUGUCAAAAACAUGGGAAUAUCAACUCGCAAAAUGAAAUGCCUCUCACAAAUAAUCUUCAAGUAGAACUUUUCGAUGUAUGGGGCAUUGAUUUCAUGGGCCAUUCCCUAUGUCUGGGAAUUACGAGUAUAUCUUAGUAGCUGUGGACUACGUGUCCAAAUGGGUAGAAGCCCUACCUUGUUGAUCAGCUGAUUCAAAACAUUCCAAGAGAAUGUUCCAUGAAGUAAUCUUUCCUCGCUUUGGUAUACCUCGGAUAGUUAUAAGCGAUGGAGGUUCCAACUUCAUCGACAAAAUCUUCCAGAAGUACCUAGCCGAUCUUGGAGUUCGACACAAUGUCGCAACACCAUACCAUCCUCAGACUAGCGAUCAAGCCGAAACAUCUAACAAACAAAUCAAAAAUAUUUUACAAAAGACCGUAGAUGAGAUGGGUAAGGGGUGGAAAGACAAACUUCCUGAUGCACUUUGGGCAUAUAGAACUGCAUUCAAAACACCCAUAGGCAUGUCACCUUAUCAACUUGUAUAUGGAAAAACUUGUCAUUUGCCUGUGGAAGUAGAGUUUAAGGCUCACUGGGCACUCAAGAAAUGGAACAUGGAUCUCCACCUCGCUAGCGAGAAUCGUCUGAUGCAACUAUCUGAGAUAGAAGAAUGGAGAGGGAAAGCCUACCACAAUUCAAGGAUCUAUAAAGAGAGAACAAAACGAUGGCAUGAUAAGAGAAUCAAGCACAAGGUGUUUAAGCCUGGAGAUAAGGUUCUACUAUUCAAUUCAAGAGUUAAGCUCUUUGGGCAUGGUAAGCUACGAAGUAAGUGGGAUGGACCAUACAAGGUUAUUUACACUUCAACUCAUGGAGCCAUUACCAUCCAAGACGACAUAGGUAACACUUUUAUGGUAAAUGGUCAACGCUUGAAAAUCUAUCUCGAGCCACAAAACAACGUGGUAGAGGAACUUGAUGUGAUUGAGUUCAUAGAAUUCUCACAUUAAGCUCUCAUAAGCUCUAGACAAUUACCUAACCCUUAACAUGCUCCACGAGUUUUGUUGUCUAUUUGGGUUGUGCAGGAUAUUGAGGCUUAAGAAGAGUGAGACCGAACAUGCAGGCCACAAAGAGUGAAUGACUAUGUCAUCAUCGAGCUUGGGGGAGGCACCCCCACAUGUAUCUAGAUAAGUAUUACUUUUCUUUCUUGGUUUUAUUUACUAGUAUUCGGAAAUAAAUAAAAAAAAUGCAUAACCAUGAAACCAAACAAAGUUUUUCUUUUGAGUAAUACACAAUAGUUUUGUGUAAUCCUAAGUUUUAAAUAAAAUAAAAAGAAAGUCUGAUCCAAGUCUAGGUAAUUGAUAAACAUGAUAUGAGAAAGUCUGAGCUACUAUUUAACUUGUUCCAAGUUUCGCUAGAGUUCUAGAGAUUUUAUCUUUUGAAAAUCUUUAAAAAAUGAGAUCCUGUUUGACAUAAUACCUUGAGUCUUAUAAGAUAUUGUCGAGGGUGUCAAUAAGGGGUACCCAAACUAAUACGCAUAACAACAAUACCCGUACACCGAGGCCCCUGACUCGACGUCCCAGAUUCAUACGCUCGAUUGCCAAAACGCGAUGACGACCAUAUCCUCGAAUAUGGAGAAGGGGUCAUGCGAAUCGGCUGAGGCUUGACUAAGCAUCGACCAUCGAAUACAGAACUGGCUCAUACGAAUCGACAGGCCUCGAGUGCAAGGACGCCGCCCGCCGCUUGACAUGGGUACAAGAACCAGGGCAUUUAAUGCGCCUGUUGCGUACUUGUUGACGGUUCUUAAGUAUCAAUUUUAAUUAUCAAAUAAACAAGAGAAAGGACCAAUAUGCAACUAACACCUAGAAUUAGGGUUUGAUCUAACAGAAUUCCACGAGUUUUGUUGUUUAUCUAUUUCUUCAGGGGGUUAUCAGAAAAUAAGGAAGAAAGGCCCACAUGUCGGGAUUACAUAGAGAUAUCAACACACCGCACGAUUUUCCACCAUCUAGAAGACUCCAGAAGCCACGGGAAGAAGACGGAGGCCGAAAGGGGCCAGGCCCAGGGCGCCCGCCCUGGUGACCUGGGCGCCCGCCCCCUGCUGGAUUGCUUUCAGCACUCUCUUCGCUCGGGAUAUUCCACUGACCUAUUGGAUCGAGAAAAACAUAGUACCACCUCGCCUAUCGACCCAAAAACGCAGAGAAGGGGAGGACUAUAUAAGGAGACCCCCCUGGCCCCUGGAGAAGACAUGAAGAAAUUAUCAUAGAGACUGAGGGGUGCCGAAGGAAAACCUCUUCUCUAAUUAAUAUUUCUUUUUAGGCUUAGCAAUCAAUGUAAGGUAGAAAUAGAUCUUCUAGUUUCUACUAGAUUGAGAGAGAUAGAGUGGAGGUGUUGAUUGGAGGAAGCCCGGCCUGUCGGUGUCUAUUCCAAGCUUGUACCUGCGGGAUCAAGUUCUCCUAACCCGAAGCUUGCUCCUAGGAUUCUUCAGUAAUUCGACUUCUAAAUUCUAGUAAGUUCUUGUUUUAUUGUUCUUAUGGUUUAUGAGUUUACUUUAAUCUCUUCGCGUAGAGUUUAGAGUAAUCAUUGCUGGCGUAAACGUGGUGUUUAGGCUGGGGUACUCAUAGAUAUUCCCUGACUAGCUGGACCGUGGUAGUAGUGAGGAACGUGACAAUUCCGAGCUACCUUUGUAGAUCACAUCUCGUUAGCAGGAAGGAUAGGGUUUAUAGGUGCGGGUUGAACAUCCUUUGUGGUGUCUAGAUUCCGUUAGCCUCCCCAUUAGAACAGUAGAUCAUCCUUACCAAGGUUAGAAGGAGACUACGGUUGCAGUCUUCUCUAUUUAUCACUCACAUCGAAAGACAUUCUUUGUGCCUAAAGGUUAGUAGUAAUAGACCGGUUAGUCAGAUGCACUCUUUCUCCUAGUGGUAAAAAAAUAAAUACGAUACUCUGGAUAAUUUCCCGGGUGAAGUGCUCACCGAUAUCCUGAGAAAGACGGUUGGUGAGAUAACCUGAGUCUUGCUACUAGCUUGUAUCUAUGAAUCUUUUAUCUUUUAUAUUCUUUAUUUUCUUUACUCUUACCUUAUGGAAAACCAAAAUUCUAAAUCAAUCCAUGAAUCUGCAAUCCCUUUAGCAACUGACCUUUUACCAUGGGAGUCAUCACAGCCUGUCCAAACAUCCCAGUAUAAGUUAAGUUCUAGGUUGAUUGCCAUGAUUCAAAACCUAUCUUUUUCGGGAAAGGAAGACGAAAACCCUUACCUUCAUAUUAGAGAUUUUGAGCAAACAUGUGAUUGUCUUCGCAUUGAAGGCAUUUCUUAUAAAACUUUACGUUGGAAGCUUUUUCCUUUUUCCUUAAGGGGAGAAGCUAGACAAUGGUACAGUCAGAAGGUAAGUCAACAACAAGGUGAAUGGGGAGUUUUACGAGCCAACUUUUGUCUAGAUUUAUAUUCCCUUGACCGUAUAGCCGACCUUAGACUCGAAGUCCUAUCUUUUAAACAAAAAGAUAAUGAAACUUUGGGGAAAUCCUGAAAACGUUUUUCUGAUCUUUUAGAAUCUGGUCCAAACCUUAAUCUUGAAGACCCUGUUCUUUUAUUUCACUUUUUUCAAGGUCUUCAGAAAAAUCACAAACAAAUGCUACACACAAUGUCUAGAGGUUCUUUCUUUCGCAUCCCUGCUGAUGAAGCUAGAGUGAUCCUAGAUAGAAUCCUAGAAGCUGAGAUGGAUAAUACCCUUCAUGAUGAAACCUACGAAGCUGAAGUAGACACUCUGCCAAAUUCUUCAUCUACUUUAGCUAUCCCAAGUUCUGAGCCACAAGAGGAAGAAAUUCCACCACCGGACUUCAUGCUGGAUAUAGAAUCCGAUCUUUUUGCCGAUUUUGGAAAUAUUUCAAACUACCAUUCUAUUGACAAACCCCAAAACGGCCAAUUUAGCAUUUAUUUGCCAAGUGAAUAUCAAUUGAGAGAGCUUAUCUCAGUAAUGAGUAGCGAAUGGUUGGAGGAAUCAGAGCUUUCCUCUAAUGUGAUCCGUUUGGACACAGCCUCUAUAACUAUACGCUGUGCUUAUAAUUCUGAUCGAUUUAAUGCUCUCUAUAAUCCUAUUGUGGGGAUCAACAUCAUGUCUGAAUAUUUUGCACUUAAACUAUUUAAAAAUCUUGUCUUAACCCCCACAACAAAGGUCAUAAAGGAAUCUUCGGGACGAUUAGUCCCCAGUCUUGGAAUUAUUAAUGUCCUACCUCUUACGGCAGAAGGAUCCAUGGUUCAUUUGAACUUCUAUAUCUUUGAUACAUGGGACUUCGACCUGUUAAUAGGACAACCUUUUAGAAGACUCCUUUAUGAAGGUCAUACUAGAAAGCUACACAUUUCUUUUGGAAAAACUUUUAAAUUCCCAAUAACAAUUUCACACUCCUUAAACAAUAAGGCCGAGUCAUAUCUUUUGCCUGAUCCUAUGGAGGAAGUAAAGGCUGCAUCUCUAGAGCUUUUAGAUGAACCAGACUUAGAAGACGAAACUCCUUUCUUCACAGAAGAAGAAGACGAACCUUCUGAGCCUGAACACUUAGAUGAGUUUGCAGAAACACCUAGACCCCCCAUAGAGCUUAAAACUUUACCACCCGGUCUUACUUAUGCUUUCCUAAACAAUAAUCCAGAGUUCCCUGUGAUCAUUAGUGAUAAACUCACUCAGGAUCAAACUCUGCGAUUAAUGACCAUUCUUGAGAAACAUCACUCAGUUUUCGGCUACUCACUCCAAGAUCUUACAGGAAUCAGUCCUAUGAUUUGUACCCAUCGUAUUCCAACAGAUCCUUCUGUUUCACCCUCUCGAGAACCCCAACGUAGACUUAAUAAUACUAUGAGAGAGGUAGUUAAAAAGGAAGUUAUAAAGUCGCUGCAUGCAGGGAUUAUAUAUCCUGUGCCGCACAGUGAGUGGGUAAGCCCAGUACAAGUUGUGCCCAAAAAGGGAGGCAUGACUGUUAUUAUGAAUGAAAAGAACGAGCUAAUUCCGCAACGCACCGUCACAGGAUGGCGGAUGUGCAUAGACUAUAGAAAACUAAACAAAGCCACAAGAAAAGAUCACUUUCCUUUACCUUUCAUAGAUGAGAUGCUAGAGCGGUUAGCAAACCAUUCAUUCUUUUGUUUCUUAGAUGGAUAUUCAGGGUAUCAUCAAAUCCCGAUCCAUCCCGAUGAUCAAAGCAAAACCACUUUUACAUGCCCGUAUGGAACUUAUGCUUAUCGUAGAAUGUCUUUUGGGUUAUGUAAUGCACCAGCUUCUUUUCAAAUAUGCAUGAUGUCUAUAUUUUCUGAUAUGAUUGAAGAGAUUAUGGAAGUUUUCAUGGAUUAUUUCUCUGUUUAUGGAAAAACUUUUGACAGUUGUCUUGAAAACUUAGACAAGGUUUUGCAAAGAUGUGAAGAAAAGCACUUAAUCCUUAAUUGGGAAAAAUGUCAUUUUAUGGUUAGGGAAGGAAUAGUGCUGGGACACUUAGUGUCUGAAAGAGGAAUUGAGGUAGACAAAGCUAAAAUUGAAGUAAUUGAACAAUUACCUCCACCUGUAAACAUAAAAGGAAUUCGAAGCUUUCUUGGCCAUGCUGGUUUUUAUCGUAGAUUCAUAAAAGAUUUUUCAUUUAUUGCUAGACCACUUACUCUUUUGCUAGCCAAGGAUGCUCCUUUCGAAUUUGAUGAUGCAUGUCUAACAUCGUUCAAUUUAUUAAAGAAAGCACUCAUCUCUGCACCAAUCAUUCAACCCCCUGAUUGGUCGCUGCCUUUUGAAAUUAUGUGUGAUGCUAGUGAUUAUGCUGUGGGGGCAGUAUUGGGACAAACUAAAGAUAAGAAGCAUCAUGCAAUUGCUUAUGCCAGUAAAACUUUGACAGGAGAUCAACUUAACUAUGCAACCACUAAAAAAGAGCUUCUGGCUGUUGUCUUUGCCAUUGAUAAAUUUAGAUCUUAUUUAGUUGGAGCUAAAAUAAUUGUUACUAAUCAUGCUGCACUAAAAUAUUUGCUCACUAAAAAAGAUGCUAAACCUCGCCUGAUUAGAUGGAUCUUAUUACUCCAAGAAUUUGACUUAGAAAUAAAAGAUAAAAAAGGAGUAGAAAAUUCUGUUGCUGAUCACUUGUCUAGAAUGUAUUUCAAGAGUCCACAGGAAACCCCCAUCAAUGAUUCACUUCGGGACGACAUGCUCUACGGGAUUAACAGGUCUGACCCCUGGUAUGCAGAUAUUGUUGAUUUUAUGGUUUCAGGGUAUGUACCACCAGGAGCAAACAAGAAGAAGCUUAUUCAAGAAAGUCGUUCACAUAUAUGGGAUGAGCCAUACCUCUUCCAAGUAUGCUCUGAUGGCUUACUCAGGAGAUGUGUGACCAUUGAGGAAGGAUGGAAGAUCAUCGACAGAUGUCAUUCAUCACCAUAUGCCAAGGUCACUAUGGAGCAUUCCGUACACAUUCAAAGAUCUGGCAGUGUGGACUCUACUGGCCUACAAUGUAUGAAGACACGAGGCAAUAUAUCAGAAGAUGUGGGCCAUGUUAAAGACAUGGAAACAUAAAUACAAGGGAUGCAAUGCCACUCACCAACAACCUUCAGAUUGAGCUCUUUGAUGUCUGGGGAAUAGACUACAUGGGUCCAUUUCCUCCAUCAAAGAAGUGCGAGUACAUCUUGGUGGCGGUUGACUAUGUCUCCAAGUGGGUAGAGGCAUUACCUUGCAAGCAUGCUGACAACGUCAGUUCAAAGAGGAUGUUUGAAGAAAUUAUAUUUCCAAGAUUUGGAGUCCCCAGAGUAGUGAUAAGUGAUGGAGGAGCACACUUCAUCGACAAACGCUUCAAGCAAUAUCUAUCAAGACAUGGAAUCCGUCACAACGUCGCUACCCCUUAUCAUCCUCAGACAAGUGGCCAAGCAGAGACUUCCAACAAACAAAUCAAGAAUAUUCUUCAGAAGACAGUAAAUGAAAUGGGAACGGCGUGGAAAGACAAGUUACCUGAUGCACUCUGGGCAUACCGGACAGCAUACAAGACCCCAAUUGGAAUGUCUCCAUACCAAUUGGUGUACGGGAAGACUUGCCAUCUACCUGUUGAACUAGAGUUCAAAGCACACUGGGCCAUAAAGAGAUGGAAUAUGGACCUAGAUGUUGCUGGAGAUUAUAGAAGAAUGCAACUAUCAGAAUUGGAAGAAUGGUGAGAGAAGGCAUAUCACAACUCAAAGAUCUACAAAGAAAGAGUAAAAAGGUGGCAUGACAAGAGAAUCAAAAAGAAGGAGUUCACACCCGGAGAUAAGGUAUUACUUUUUAAUUCCAGGGUGAAGCUUUUCGGGCAUGGAAAACUCCGGAGCAAAUGGGAAGGACCAUUCAAGGUAAUUAAUUCAUCAUCCCAUAGAGCUAUCACACUUCAAAAUGACGAAGGUACGUUAUUCAAGGUAAAUGGUCAACGUCUUAAAUUAUUUUUAGAGCCCAAUGAGGAAUUUGAAGAAAUAGACGUAUUCCACUUUUACCUUCCCAUGGAGAAUUAGAGCCCGACCUUUUUAGUCUGAUGUUUUUGGGUCAUAUAUAUAUUUUUCUAAAUAAUUUCGUAUCUAGAAACGUGCUCGAGAAAGUGGGCCCACAGAGGGGCCAGAGAGAGGGCGGGCGCCCAGCUCAGGUGGGCGGGCGCCCAGCUCCUGUUCCCCCUCGGUCCCGAUUUUCUCUGUUAUGGAAAAUGCACUUAUGGUAAUUCGAAUAAUCCCUCGGAUGGAAAGUUUCCCACGCAAGUCGACGGGAGCAACCUGAACAACCCAUAGAGGCACCCUUUUGACCCCUAUAUAAACAGACCCUGACCUCAGUUUUCAAACACCAAGCCACCAAUCCUUCUCUCCUUCAAUUAGAGCUUGAUUAGCUCUCCUUAAAUUAGAGCUUGAUUAGUUCCUUGCUGCUCCAAUGGCCGAGAAGUACCACGAUGAUUGGGAAGUCGUCCCCUUCAACCUCAACAUGGAGCUUGUGGAAGACCCCGAUGCCCGUGCUCUCGUCCCGGCCAACACAGAGCGACAGCUAGAAGCUAUGCCAUUACGCCAACGCAGCUCCGCCCAAUCUUACAAUGCUCAACCAGUUCUCACCGCACCGCCACAACCCCUACUCCUCAAAGGAUCAUCAUCCAAGAUAAAGACCACUAUCAAGGUGCCAACCGGCACAAGGAUCCUUGCACCUAGACCCAAUGAGAGGGUCGUUGGAGUCAAGACCAACCGGAGCGGUGAGAUCAGCAGUAUUCGCUACACUACGGAGGAGGAAAGGCCUUUGAAGGGAUUAGACCAGCCAAAGUCCGUUUCAUCCCUCCAAAGGCAGCCCCGAAGCACUCUCUCAAUGCUUUUGAGACACCUCCCAAGCGUCGCAAGACUAUAAUGGAUAUUGAUGAGGAAGUUCGCAGGCUAGAUAGAGUUAUCAUAGAUCUCCAGUCCUCGAUCAACUCCCUCACUAGCCAGCUCUCUAACCACAACACUAUUAUACUAGGCCUUAGGCAGGAUCUUGCCAGUGCCAACAAGAAGAUCAAGGAAUUAGAGCGCCGCUAAGUUAUCUAGAUUAGACCUUGAGGCAAUGCAUUUUAGUUAUCUAUCUUUAAAUUCGGUUUAGGUUUGCAAUUAUCAUCAGUUUGCUAUUAUCAUCAGUUUGUUAUCAGUUUGCUACUAGUCUUUUGUAAUAAAUGCCUCAAGAUUAAUAAAGAGUAUUACUAUUAUUAUUAUUAUGUCUUGUGUGUCUCUACUUUAUUUUUGUGCAAGAAAGCAAAAAAACAAGUAUGGGGGAGAUCCCUCGACAUGCCAACCACACUCCUACUACACCACUCCACGAUUCAGGUACACACUCUGCACACUUUACACAUACAUAUAUUUUGGAUUAUGCAGAUUAUUGUUUCCGACAUGAUAAAAUAAAAAGAUUAAAAUAUUUCUAAUCAUGAUUAAUCUCAAUAUGUGAUAUUUCCUGAAAACUUACAAUUAUUGAAAAUCAUUUUAAAACCCUGUGUCACUUAAGUCAAUAUGGAAUAUGUGAUGGUAGAGUAUGAGUUUCUUAUUCUUGAUAUCAUUGUUGCUUGGAGAAUUUAUUUCAAAAUAUUCAAAAUUAUAGCUACCAUCCUCAGUGUUUUAUGGCUGAUAAGACUGAAAAUAUUAAUUAUAAUUAUAAAAGCUAUCUACUCUGUAUUGAGUUUGUUCAAAAUGAGUUAGACCCUUGUUGAGAGAUUUAUCAUGCUCCUAAGAUCAAGACAGUAUUUCAGAAAGAUUCACUCUUCCGAAGUAUUAUUGCAUUAGAGGCAUGGGCUAUGCAUAAAUAGAAAUAUUUCGAGGAAAUAAAAAGGAGCAAGUGCUCGACAACAUCGCAGAAAAAAAUGGACAAGUGUCCGGCAGUAGAAUUAGGGGUACCUCGGUAUCCACUUAAAAAAAAUAUACCCCAUGGUCCCUCUAAUAAGCAAUAUGCCAGCAAGAGUUGACAAAGAUUUUAAUUUCCAAAGUUUUUGAUCUAAGAGUAUGACAUUCCCCUCCUCGGAUCCCGUUUUGAUCAGGCAAUAAAUGCAAAGUAAGUAUGCUUGAGAAUUUUUGCAAAAAUAAAACAGCCUCAGUGAGAUAUAUACAAAAGAUAAUGAGUGAUCUGAGAGAACCUAUGAGGAUAAAAAGGUAUGCUAACUUUCUUUCAAAAAUAUACAAAAACUCCAAGUGACAGGAUUGAGAAGAAAGGAUCUCUACUCUUAACCAUAAACUUCCCUGACUAUGGUACAUAGUGGAAUUUUUAACACCCUGCAAUUAUAUAAAGAAUGUUUUAAAUGUUUUACCCCAGAUAUUGUUCUUAACCAUCCUUUUCUCGAGGACGAGUAAAAGCCUAAGUAUGUGGGUAUUUGUUGACGGUUCUUAAGUAUCAAUUUUAAUUAUCAAAUAAACAAGAGAAAGGACCAAUAUGCAACUAACACCUAGAAUUAGGGUUUGAUCUGACAGAAUUCCACGAGUUUUGUUGUUUAUCUAUUUCUGCAGGGGGUUAUCAGGAAAUAAGGAAGAAAGGCCCACAUGUCGGGAUUACAUAGAGAUAUCAACACAUCGCACGAUUUUCCACCAUCUAGAAGACUCCAGAAGCCACGGGAAGAAGACUGAGGCUGAAAGGGGCUAGGCCCAGGGCGCCCGCCCUGGUGACCUGGGCGCCCGCCCCAUGCUGGAUUGCUUUCAGGACUCUCUUCGCUCGGGAUAUUCCACCGACCUAUUGGAUCAAGAAAAACAUAGUACCACCUCGCCUAUCGACCCAAAAACGCAUAGAAGGGGAGGACUAUAUAAGGAGACCCCCUGGCCCCUGGAGAAGACAUGAAGAAAUUAUCAUAGAGAUUGAGGGGUGCCCUCGAAGGAAAACCUCUUCUCUAAUUAAUAUUUCUUUUUAGGCUUAGCAAUCAAUGUAAGGUAGAAAUAGAUCUUCUAGUUUCUACUAGAUUGAGAGAGAUAGAGUGGAGGUGUUGAUUGGAGGAAGCCCGGCCUGUCGGUGUCUACUCCAAGCUUGUACCUUGCGGGAUCAAGUUCUCCUAACCCGAAGCUUGCUCCUAGGAUUCUUCAGUAAUUCGACUUCUAAAUUCUAGUAAGUUCUUGUUUUAUUGUUCUUAUGGUUUAUGAGUUUACUUUAAUCUCUUCGCGUAGAGUUUAGAGUAAUCAUUGCUGGCGUAAACGUGGUGUUUAGGCUGGGGUACUCAUAGAUAUUCCCUGACUAGCUGGACCGUGGUAGUAGUGAGGAACGUGACAAUUCCGAGCUACCUUUGUAGAUCACAUCUCGUUAGCAGGAAGGAUAGGGUUUAUUGGUGCGGGUUGAACAUCCUUUGUGGUGUCUAGAUUCCGUUAGCCUCCCCAUUAGAACAGUAGAUCAUCCUUACCAAGGUUAGAAGGAGACUACGGUUGCAGUCUUCUCUAUUUAUCACUCACAUCGAAAGACAUUCUUUGUGCCUAAAGGUUAGUAGUAAUAGACCGGUUAGUCAGAUGCACUCUUUCUCCUAGUGGUAAAAAAAUAAAUACGAUACUCUGGAUAAUUUCCCGGGUGAAGUGCUCACCGAUAUCCGUGCGCUUGCGGAUCAAUUCCUUAUUGCGUUCCCAAAUAUCAACAGUUCUCACCUAACCCGGCAGUCACGGGAAGCGUGAUAGGGAGCAAGCACCCAUCCAAUCGCCCUUUUUGCAGCCUUGUCCACCAGAUGAACCAGAGUAGGUCAGGGCGCAGUGAGACGGUCGGAACGUCUUGUCACGACCCCCCUCGAGACGCCCAAAGUCAGCGCUCCUAUCAGCAAGGCUUUGCGUGGCGUUGGACCCUCGAGUGAACACUUUCCUUCCCAAAGAAGAGUCAGGCGGUGAAAGACAACACCUCAACAACUCUGACGCGACAGCAGCCACGACGUACAGGUGUGCCCACGGUUAAGCCGAUCCAGGACGGCGCGCAGGAGCCGAAUUCAGAGGCACGCGUAAUCAUCAUCCAAGUACUGAGUAACAAGACGGCUUGAGGCCACGCCAGUACGGAAGCCUCGAGUAGGUCAGCGCACCACGCAUCUAUCGACCCCUACUCUAUCACCUACGCCAUGUAACCUAGGUCACCCCUUGGAACUAUAAAAGGGUAGGCACAGGAAAGGAUAGGGGACACAAGACAUACCUAGAAGAACAACCACACUUCAUCUCCCACCAUCCACACAAUACCGACUUGUAUUCACCCCUGUACAAGCACUUAGGUGCAAGAUAAUAGAAACAUCUCCUCCCCACCCGACGUAGGGCCUUCUCUUGCCCGAACCAGGAUAAACCUUUGUGCCUUUCUUGCAUCACCAUCUGGGAAAGGGAACACGCACACAAGUUUCACUCGUUGGAGUGACCCCCCGUGGGGAAAACACCGAUAGAUAUAAAUAUUAAAACUGUGGGCAAUUGCUUUGUUCAAGUCAUUGUUUAUUUCUUGUGGUUUUGGUUGAGAGAAUUAUCAUGCUCCAAAGAUCAAGAUCGUUUUGUUUUAAAAAUAUAAAAGAUUCACUCUUCCGAAGUAUUAUUGCAUUAGAGGCAUGAGACUAUGCAAAAAUUUGAUUAAAAAAAAGAGUGAGACGAGAGGUAAAAAUGGACAAGUGUCCAAAGUAGAAUUAGGGGUACAAAGAUACCCACCUGAGUGGAAAAAAUGGACACAUGUCUGAUAGUAGAAUUAGGGGUACUUGGUGCCCACUUGAAAAAAAGAAAAAAAAGAGAGAGAGACUGAAAAAAAAGAGAGAAAAAAAAAUGAUAGCCCAUGGUCCCUCUAAUAAGCAAUGUGCUAGUAAGAGAUGACAAACUUUUCAAAAAGGUCAAAGGUAUUGAUGUAGGAGUAUGACAUUCCUCUCCCUUGCUCCGAGCAUUGACAUAGCAAAAUGCAAAGUAAGUAUGCUAAAACUUUUAAAGCUCUACUUAUAUAUCUUUCGAGAAGAAGGCAAAUGCCUCAGUUUUAUUUUGGAAACUUACAAAAAACUCCAGAACAAAGGUAAGACAGAAGAACUUGAGACAUAGUGCUUGACUUGAUCGUUCUGUUUUUCAAUCACUUAAGAGCUUAGUGAUAACUUAAUAACCCUGUAGUAAGAGGCAUAAAAGUAACCCCAGUUUUUUUCUGAUUUUAGCUUUGCUCAGGGACGAGCAAAGGUUAUGCUUGGGGGAGCUUGUUGACGGUCCUUAAUGCUCACAUUUAACCGUCAACUAAUCAUGGAAAAGGACUUAUAUACAACUGUUGGGUAUUUUAAACGCAAAGAGAAAAAUCCGCAAGCGCACGGAUACCGAUGUAGCCUUCACCCGGGAGUAUUCCAGAGUAUCGAUUUUCCACAGAGAACGUGAGUGUACUAAUUAAGAUCCAAGAUCGCCCAAGGAUAACUAUAUAAUUAUUUUUGGUGGGAAGAGAGGAAGUUUCCUGAGAGUUCUCUAGUUGAUCUAAGAAUCAAGAAUUACUUCAAGAUUAUUUAUAUCGGGACAUCAGAGCACUAACCACAGAAAGAGAUGAGAAGGGGGCUAGGAAGGUCUGACUACGGUCCUACAAACACCGAUCCGAACGUGGUGGAAUACGUCGACCGUUAGGGAUGUCACUACCCUAAGGCUACCACAACAAUCCGCAGGAUUGGGUGCAAUUCCAGGUAAUUGCAAGACUAAACACCACGUCUAAUCUAUUAAUUACUACUCUAAUGUUUCAAAGAUUAGAGCACUUGAUGCAAGCGGGAAUCCAAUAAAUAACUUGAAUGUAAAUAAAAGUAAUUAGAGAACUCAGGAGUUAUGAGUUGAAGAACCUAGAGAACGAUGAAGAACGAACCAGAUGUUGCAAAAGUACAAUGUUGAGGAAGAUCCGACAGAUCCGGCUCCUCCUCCGCUCUCCUCUUCUCUCUCCCUAUUUUCUAGAUUACAACUAGAACUAACUAGAACUAGAACUAGAGGAACUAGAACUAGAACUAAAUGAACUAGAACUAGAUCUAGAUGAACUAGAGGUAGAACUAGAAGAACUAGAGGGAUCCUCUCUACUUGGAUGAAUAAUUGAAACCCCUAGCUUUGAUUCUGUAGAAGAGGUAUGAUCUCCAGGGGCCAGGGGGUCUGGUUUUAUAGUCCCUUCAAGUGAAUCUGGGCCGUCGGAUCAAACCGACAUUGAUCGUGUGGUUCUCCUUGAUCCUUUAGGUCGGUGGAGCAUAAUCCGCGAAACGUGUCCUGAUUGGGCACUGUAGCUGGGCGGGCGCCCUGCCUCCGAGCCCGAUUUCCUUCCCGUUCGUUCCCGUGGCUUCUGGAGUCUUCUAGAUGAUAGAAAAUUGCGCGACACGUUAAUAUCUCUAUGUAAACCUGACGUGUGGGCCUUUCUUCCAUAUUUCCUGAUAACCCCCUGCAGAAAUACACAAACACCAAAACUCGUGGAAUUCUGUCAGAUAAAACCCUAAGUCUAGGUGUUGGUUGCAUUUGGAUCCUUUUCCAUGAUUAAUUGAUGGUUAAUUGUGAGCAUUAAGGACCGUCAACAAGCUCCCCCAAGCUUAACCUUUGCUCGUCCCUGAGCAAAGAUGAACUCAAGAGUUUCUGAAGUGGUUUCAUAACUUAAAGAUACACAUGCGUUUAAACAAGAUCUCAUAUCUGGUUAGAGUAAACUGUUAAGACUUAAAACUUACUCAUUUACCUUUCACCAUGGGACUUGUAACCGUCACUUCUGUCUUGAGUAGUUAAAAGAUAGAACGGUCUAGUCAAGCACCAUGUCUCUUAUUCUUGAUCAGCUAUAGCUCUAGAGUUUUUGCAGAUUUUCAAAUAAAACACAGAGAUUCCUUGUAUGACUCUCUCUAGUCUCUCUUUUGUGGUAUUUCUAGAUCCUUACCAAGGCAUUAAUGGUGUAUGCCUUCUCUCAAAGUAUGUGGUAUUUGUGGUAUAAGGCAUAGUGGCAUUGCCUUCUCUCUCACCCUACUCUUAUAAGGUUUUGAUAUCUGGAGCUCAUAGGUGGGAGACAGCUAAUACAUACUUACAAGACAUUUAUUGCAUAGUCAAACCAUGGAUCCAGAAGAACAAGUCAAUAAGUCAAAUCAAGAUGUGCAUGUGUGGUGAAUGAAUGGUGUAUGGUGAUGAUGGUUAUAACAAUGGUGAAAGUCUAAUUCUACUUAUGCUCUUUUGAGGGGAUACAUACCUUUCUUGCUCUUUUGAAACUUUUUGAGGAGAAUGAGAUGCUCUAUAUAUUUUUUUCUUUUCUCUCAGGUGGGUAUCUUGUGCCCCUAAUUCUACUGUCGGACACUUGUCCAUUUUUACCUCUCGUCUCACUUUUUUUUUAGGUUCCGGGCACUUGCCCCUUUUUAUUUCCUCGUAUUUAUUUUUUUUCUCUCUCUUUUUUUUCUUUUUUUUAGAGCACUCAUCUCCUGAAAUAAUAUAGCAAGUGGUAGUAACCAAGAUAACUUGUGCAUUUAUUUCACAGGGGAAAAACAGAAAUAUUUUUGGCUAUUCUCUCUCGGAUUAGGAGUAGAAUAUUUUUGGGUGGUUCUGGAGAUGGAAAUGGAUGGAUAUAUGUGGAUGCGUUCUUCCGAAGUAGAAGUAGCAUGUAUGAGUGAACGUGCAAGUGAAUCUUGAUUUAACCACAUGACAAGCUCCUAAGGGUCUACACAGCUUGACCACACUCAAUGCUCAUAAGUAGUAAAAAGUAAAUGUGUGGCUCAUAGUCUAACAAGCAUGUAUAUAUGGCUGUGGUAGGAAUUUAAACUCUCAUCAUACGGGAACUCAUCAUGCAACAUUUUAAAGAUUUUCAAAGAUAAAAUUCUCCAGAAUUCUAGCAUCCCUAGGAACACAUAAACAACAGCUUAACCUUCCCAUAUCAUAUCCGUUAACAACUUAGACUUUAGAUCAAGUACUCUCCCCACAAGUUCAGGUUUAGAGCAAAUCUUAAUUAAUAACAGUCAUGCCUAAACUUGAGAGAGAUUUCAAUUUUGAUAACUAGUCAUGGUAGAGCAACUAUUCAUCAUUUCCAUGUGAGAGCUUAUUAUGAGGGUUCAUAGCAAACUUUAUUUAUUUAUUUAUUUAGCAAGCUAAGCAAAGAUAUAUAUAAGCACAAAAUCUUUAUUUGGGUUUUUAUGAUCAUGCAUCUUUUUAUUAUUUGAGUAAAAUAUAAACGUGAGUAGAACACUUAGCUGGAUAAAUGGGGGUGCUCUCCCCCAAGCUGGAUUUUGACGUAAUUUCUUCUGAUGUAGCUAGCAGGUGGCGGAGGUGUAUUUGAAUGUCGGCAGCACUCUGAUAGCGAUUAGGAUGUCCUCCGUCUGCUAGUCUUCUUUGAUCCUUGAAUUUUGUGGAGCUCAAAUAGACAACAAAACUUUGUGGAACUAGUUAAGUGUUAGCAUAAAAACUCUUAGCCGUUAUCAUGUUGAGCUUCCUCUAAUAAAUUUUACUCUCUUUGGUAGGAUCAUAAAUCUAUUUUUAUAAUUUUAUUUUUAUAGGACAGGAAUAUAUUUACUUUAUUUUUAUGCCACCAUAGUGAAUGUACUUAUGGGUUUUAUGCCAUGAGCAUACUCACAUGGGGCUUACUUAACAUUUUUAUUUUCUAUUCAAGAUGAUAUGAACCAGAUUAACUAAGCAAACUAUUUUAAAAUAAUUGAAAGGAAAAAGAUAACUACCAAGUUUACCUCUUGGCAAGGCGUUCGGUGUUUUUAAGUCCUCCGAACGGGACUCUCCGUUUUCUCAGUCGUCCUGGAAUUCGCUGGAUGGCGUAGUCGGUGGUUCCGGCGGUGCCUCCUCUUUAUGUAUAACUAUCUUCUCUCUACACACCUGACUCGGUGCUACGGUCUCCUCAGGACAGUUCUGUUCAAGUUGUAUGUCUUCAGACCUUACGACUUCUCCUUCAUAGUCUGCCCAUCCGUCCUUGAUGAUUUGCCUCCUCUGGUUGCGGUUGCGUCGUCUUCUUCUUGCCCUGACCUGCUUAGAGUCAUCAGCUAUAUAGUUAGGGUCAGUAAAAUAGCGGCGUACCUUCUCAGAGGGGGAGUUCAUGUGGACUUCUCCGGUUCCAAUGUAGAUGAUUGCUUUAACAGUGCUGAGGAACGGUCUUCCAAGGAGGAUGGGUGGAUCGUACUUGUCUUCUCCCAUGUCAAUAACCUUAAAAUCAUCUGGAGCUAAAUGUAUGUUGGUUGUAGGGACAUGGUUCCAUGCAGGAGCUGAUAAGUGACUGCGGCCAUUAUAUUGACGUUAGAUCCGGUGUCGUAGAGUGUCUUCUGAAAAGAAUAUCCGUUGAUUGUGCACUCGAUGCUUGGGACACCAGGGUUGUCCUUCUUGAUCAAGAAAGGUGACUUGAGUUGACGAUCUUGACCUCCUUGAACUGCAGUGACCAUCUUAGCUGACUCGGUACACAUUUGCUUGUUCCUGUUCCUCCUGUUGGUCCUCUUCCUUGGUUCAUGUCGGGAAUGCUCUGAGAUUUGUGUAGUCUUGUUUCUUGAAGGAAAACGUCUCCUUCUUCCCCUUGAUGUAGAAACUGAUCUUGGCAGCACUAGCAUAGAUGACAGCUCUUGAGGUGUUCAGGAAUGGCCUCCCUAGGAUGAUGGGUGCCCUCUCAUCAGUACCAGUCUCUAUUACCAAGAAGUCUGCUGGGGCGUACAAGGUACCAACUCAGACGCAGAGGUUCUUCAAUAUCCCCUUUGGGAAACUUAGUGUCUGAUCUGCAAGCCUGAGCAUAAUGUUGACGCUGGAGCCAAAGUUACAGAGUGCUUCUAGG